RNAcentral lists this long non-coding RNA (79133 nucleotides) under Sorghum bicolor (sorghum). RNAcentral's name for it is "long non-coding RNA (SBIC_LNC008808)". The stretch from base 13046 to 13152 matches the Rfam family "Plant small nucleolar RNA R71". Lineage: Eukaryota; Viridiplantae; Streptophyta; Magnoliopsida; Poales; Poaceae. The record is from RNAcentral.
UCUUUGGUGGUAUUUCUGGAUCCUUACCAAGGCAGUUAUGGUAUAUGCCUUCUCUCAAAAUAUGUUGUAUUUGUGGUAUAAGGCAUAGUGACAUUGCCUUCUCUCUCAUCCUACUCUAAUAAAGCUUGUGAUAUCUGGAGCUCAUAGGUGGGAGAUAAAGUAUACAUACUUAAAACAUUUAUUGCAUAGUCAAACCAUGGAUCUAGAGAAACAAGUCAAUAAGUCAAAUCAAGAUGUGCAUGUGUGGCGAAUGAAUGGUGUAUGGUGAUGAUGGUGAUAGCAAUGGUGAAAGUCUAAUUCUACUUUUGCUCUUUUGAGGGGAUACAUACCUUUCUUGUUCUUUUGAAACUUUUUGAGGAGAAUGAGAUGCUCUAUAUUUUCUUUUUCUUUCCUCUUAGGUGGGUAUCUUGUACCCCUAAUUCUAGUGUCGGACACUUGUCCAUUUUUACCUCUCGUCUCACUUUUUUUUCUUUUCUUUCGAGGUUCCGGGCACUUGCCCCUAUUUAUUUCCUCGUAUCUUUUCUCUUUUUUUCUUAGAGCACUCAUCUCCUGAAAUAAUAUAGCAAGUAGUAGUAACCAAGAUAACUCGAGCAUUUAUUUCACAGGGGAAAACAGAAAUAUGAGAAUGUUUUUGGCUAUUCUCUCCCGUAUUAGGAGUAGAAUACUUUUGGGUGGCUUUAGAGAUGGAAAUGGGUGGAUAUAUGUGGAUGCGUACUUUCGGAGUAGAAGCAGCAUGUAUGAAUGAACGUGCAAGUGAAUCUUGAUUUAACCACAUGACAAGCUCCUAAGGGUCUACACAGCUUGACCAUACUCAAUGCUCAUAAGCAGUAAAAAGUAAAUGUGUGGCUCAAAGUCUAGCAAGCAUGUAUAUAUAUAGCUGUGGUAGGAAUUUAAACUCUCAUCAUACAGGAACUCAUCAUGUGAUAUUUUAAAGAUUUUCAAAGAUAAAAUUCUCCAGAAUUCUAGCAUCUCUAGGAACAGAUAAACAACAACUCAACCUUCUCAUAUCAUAUUCGUUAACAACUUAGACUUCAGAUCAAGUUCUCUUCCCACAAGUUCAGGUUUAGAGCAAGCUUUAAAUUAUAACAGUUAUAUCUAAACUAGAGAGAUAACUCAGAUUUGAAAAUUAGGCAGAGCAACUAUUCAUCAUAUCCAUGCUAGAGUUUUAUUAUUAAGAUUUAGUUUAGCAUAGCCACUUUAUUUAUUUAUUAAGCACACUAAGCAAAAGACAUAUAUAUAUAGAAGCACAAAAUCUUUAUUUGGUUUUCAUGGUUAUGUAUAUUUAUAUUUUAAUAUGGUAUAAGUAUAAAUGUAGAUAGAGAUACUUAGCUGGAUAAAUGGGGGUGCUCUCCCCCAAGCUGGAUUUUGACGUAAUUUCUUCUGAUCUAGCUAGCAGGUGGUGGAGGUGUAUUUGAAAGUCGGAAGCACCCUGAUAGCGAUUAGAAUGUCCUCCGUCUGCUAGUCUUCUUGAUCCUUGAAUUUUGUGGAGCUCAGAUAGACCACAAAGCUUUGUGGAACUGAUUAGGUGUUAGCAUAAAUAUCUAGCCUUUAUCAUGUUGAGCCUCCUCAAUAAAUAUUACUCUCUAUAUAUUUUUUAUAGAGCAGAAAAAAAUAUUUAUUUUAUUUUGAUGCCACCACAGUGAAUGUACUUAUGGUUUUUAUGCCACUUGUAUACUCACAUGGGGCUUACUGGUUUUUUAACAUUUUUAUUUUCUUUUUAGGAUAGUAUGAACAUGAUUAACUAAGAAAACUAUUUAAAAUAAUUGAAAGGGAAAGGAUAACUACCAAGUUUACAUCGUGGCGAGGCGUUCGAUGUUUUUAAGUCCUCCGAACGGGACUCUCCAUUUUCUUAGUUGUCCUGGGAUUUGUUGGAUGACGUAGUCAGUGCUUCCGGCAGUGCCUCUUCUUCGUAUACAACUAUCUUCUCUCUCCACACCUGACUCGGUGCUACGGUCUCCUUAGGACAAUUCUGUUCAAGUUGUAUGUCUUCAGACCUUUCUACUUCUCCUUCGUAGUCUUCCAAUCCGUCUUGAUGAUUUGCCUCCUCUGGUUGCGGUUGCAUCGUCUUCUUCGUGUCCUGACCUGCUUAGAGUCUUCAACUAUAUAGUUAGGGUCAGUAAAAUAGCGGCGUACCUUCUCAGAGGGGAAGUGCAUGUGGACUUCUCCGGUUCCAAUGUAGAUGAUUGCUUUAACGGUGCUGAGGAACAGUCUCCCAAGGAUGAUGGGUGGAUCAUACUCAUCUUUUCCCAUGUCAAUAACCUGAAAGUAUGUAUGGACAAAAUGAUCGUCUGUUUUGACAGGGACGUCAGUUAUUAUACCUUCAAGCCUCUUGGUAGUAGUCGUUCGUGAAAGCAUAAGAGGCGUCGGAGUACCGUCCUGCAUCGAAUUGGGGCUGGGGCCUAGACCUUGAGGCUCCAUAUGGAUCAGUGGAAUACCUGGCCAUACUAGAAGGUGGGUUUGUCCACUGGUGAUCUUGGCACUCCGGCCAUGUUUCCUGUUUUGACUCCUGCGGUUGAGCAUAUCGAACCCACGGGUCCUGAAGAACUUAGGGGUUGUAGUCGCGGUAAUGCAGGUACGUUGCUUCUUCAGGCCUGGAUCAGCUCCAUACCAGGUGCGUUCUUGAUGGGUGGUCAUCCUUUCAGAUGCCACUCGGUGUGGAGCUCUCUGGUUUACCGGUGCCACUGUUUCUUAUAGUUGGAUAGGAUCAAGAGUGGGGGUGUGAAUGAAAUCCUUGUUCUUUAGCUGCUGGAAAACUUCCUUCUCCCUGCGGGUCUUCCGUCCAAGGUCUCCUGUCUUGAGGAGGACCUUGUCUCGUGGAUCAGAUGAAUAUGACGGAGCUUGCGGGGGCGUCGGGUCGACGUUCAUCUCUGACUGGUGCAAGGAGUGUCGGGAUGAGCUCCUCGUACUAAUGUUCUUGAGGGCCUUCCCCGCGUUCUUCACCUUCUUCAUCAUCCUGCUAACAAAAGUUGACACAAACACAACUAGUGGAAAAUGUGAGAGAGAAAAAUGUUAAUGGUGAGCUGUCCGACAUGUUAGUAGUCCAGGGGUUAGUCGUCAAGAUAAGUUUUUAUUUUUGCAGCGCCUCCCCCUAAACAACUGUCCGCUCUAGACAGCGGGAUCACCACUUACUAGGUGAACCUCACUCUCUUAAUCAAAGACUACCAACCUUCCUUUCACUCUUCUCUUUCUCUCCUCUCUCCUUCCUACUCUACUACAAGAGCUCCUUCUCUAGAAACUGAAACUUGUGUGGCUUUUUGGAAUGCUUGUGUGAAGAAGUUGGAGGCAGGAGGUGGUCUUUUAUAGGCUGAAGGAGGGACAGGGCGGGCGCCCUCUGUAGGUGGGCGGGCGCCCACCUUUGGUGGCCAUCCUGGCUGCUUUUUACUCCCUCCAUUGCUUAUCUGUUACGCAGAAUAAUGUUGAGUGGGCGGUGGUUGGAUGGUAGAAAAAUGCUAGUGAGUGGAAACAUGUUGGUGGAUCACAAGAUAUGGUGUAUGACAUGUGGGACCCAAGGAGUGUGGGUCAUGCUUCUAGAAGGUUGCUAUAAUAUAAUGCAGGAAAAUCUAUGAGAAUUGAAACUUAUUGAAAUGAUAAUAGAAAAUAUAUAUUUUUUUGUGCCUCCACAAUAAUUAAUAAAUAUGGGUUGUCACACACCAUAAAUAUUAUUUAUAUGGGGCUUUUGAUUAUUAUAAUAAUGCUAUGAAUGAAUAUGGAUAAUGUAGGAAUUAAAUACGAGAGAAUUAAUGAUGCGGAUAAAUACCGAUUUACCUCCCGGUGAGGGUUUGGGAUUUUUAGGUCCCCCAAGCUGGACCUCCGAAUCUUUUAAUCUUCUGAAUUACCUUCCUCUAGAGAUGGUGUCGCCAGUGGUUCUUCUUUACUGGGGGUUCAAUGGUGGAUCUCCCUCUUUUUUGUAGUUAUAUUGCUCUUGCAGAAAUAUCUCUAUUAAUGUAGGUUGAUUGAAAUUACCUAAUUUCAUACCUUGAUUAUUGAGAUGUUUGUAUGCUGCCUCAAUGGUCCUCUGAUCUUUUUCAAGUAUUUCUUCUGUUUGGUGAUGAUGUUGAACUUUAUCUUGGAAUCAGCUUUGGUCUUCUGCUAUCUUGUCCAAAAGUAGUUCUGCUUCUCCAAGUGUAACUUCAAAAAGUGACCCUCCAGUAAUUGCAUAUAGGCUCUCACGAGCCUUUUGGGUUAAUCUACAGUGGAAGGUUUGGAUAAGUAACCAUCUGGGCAAUCCAUGGAGAGGACAUUUUGAUAUGUAUCCUUUAAAAUGCUUCCAUGCUUCUGGAAUGAUUUCUGUCUUCUGUUGUUGAAAGCCGAUGAUCUUUCUUCUUAAGGCAACUGAUUUGGUAAAUUUGCCUAUGGGGAAGAACUUUGCUAUAAAAGCCUUUGAACAGUUUGUCCAAGUAUUGAUAUCUUCUUUGUUGGUGUAGAACCACUUCUUUGCUCUUCCCUCAUGUGAGAAUGGAAAGAGACAAAACCGUAUGGUAUCUUGGUUGACUCCGUCGACUUUGAUUGUGCUCAUAAUCUCUAAGAAAUUCUGCAAGUGUGUCUUAGCAUCUUCAUGUGCCUUUCCACUAAAUUGUGUAGCUUGUUCCAAAUUGAUGAGGCUUGACAUGAGCUCGAACUCGGGUGCUCCUUCUUCUACUGCAAAUCUUGGACCAGUUGGAAUGUUCUCAAGAUUUGGAGCAGAGAAUUCUUGCAAGGUCUUUUGUGCCAUACCUUCAGCAAUUGGUAGAUAGCUUCUUCUUUCUUUCUUGAUUGCUUUGGUUCUCAUGAUGAAGAGUUCAAUGUACCAAAGUCAAUCCUAAUAUACCCUGUAUAAAAAUAUAAACAUAGAAAAACAACAGGGUGAACUUGCCAAAGCAGAGGUGCCUUGUUAUGAUUUCUCAUUUAGUAGCAGUUUAUGCAAUUAUUUCUCCAUAGUCUAGUCUAAUAUUUUAUGUGAAUAACCUUGACUGACUUCCUGACUUUCCUUACCAUUUUCCGGCAAUGGCGCCAGAAAUGCUGGUUGACACUUACUAACACCACUUGGAUACUAGGUUGUCAUCCCCACCAUGGUGCCAGAGUGUACAAAGGUAUUUAUAUGAAUAUAAAGGCUCUCUAGAAAAUAUUCUAUUCUAUCCGCAAGCGCACAGAUAAAAUACCUCAUUGUAGCAUUUCACCAGGAAAAGUAUUCCGGGUAUCAUUAUUUAUAUUUUGCUUAAGAGAACGGUAGAGGUGGGUGAAAUCUAUCAAGGCAUAGACUAGAGAUAAACUUGCAAGAACAUGAUUACUAAUGAGAAACUCGUCACACAGUCACUUGCUUUGGCAGGGGGUAAGCCAUAAUAAAAAUGAUAAUGAAAUAUAAGCUCAUGGGUAAAUAACAUAGCGAUUAGAAAAUAGACUACUCCUCAUAUAUGUAAGGUGACGUCGGAUUAGCUAGAUAAUGGAUUCUGAGUUAUCUACUACCUACUAAGUUACAAUAUACUCUAGUUAUCUACAAGAUCAUAUAUAGCACAAAAGACUCUUCAUUCAUGUAUAAGGAACAUUGCUAAAGUAAAUCAGAACAUCGCAAGACUUACUCCGCAAUACAAAUUCUGCCUGUCCUAUCAACGGAGGGUGGACUAUAUAAGAAUCAACGAAGCUGUCACCAUCGCGAACUACCACACGACCUAGCCAAUAGGAUACAUUAGUAGGUAAAUAACAUCUAAGCACCACGCCCACAUGUGAUCUACCACUUAACUCCCACGUGUCAAGAGCUAAGCGCUUUGCAAACUCAUACAUAAACUCAUUAUCAAUCAUAACUAUAUCAAAUAUAGAACUAGAGCAAACUAAGAACAUAAUAAAUAGAGACAUAAUGCAAUUAGAAUAAAGUAGUAGAGAAAGAUAUGAAAUAAUACCAAUCUUUAUUGAUGAAGAUCCGAAUCCAGAGCGCUAGGCUCUACUUCUCCAAUUCUAUCUAAUCAAUCCUAUAGAACUUGAAGGAACUAGGAGUAGCUAAUUCUAAUUCUCUGUGGGAGAGAAAUUCCUAAACCCUAACUUUGAUGGCUUCAUCUAAUAAUGAUUUCUCCUCCCCCUGGCGUGGAGAGGCCUUGCUUAUAUAGCCCCCUCAUAUGAAUUUGGGUCGUCAGAUCAAACCGACAUUAAUCGCACGGUUUUCCUUGAUCCUUUAGGUCGGUGGAGCAUAAUCCGCGAAGUUGGUUCUGAUUGGUCCUCAGACCACGGCGGGCGCCCAAGGGGGCAGGGGCGGGCGCCCUGCCCCUGGGCCCGUUCGUUCCCGUGGCUUCUGGACUCUUCUAGAUGUUAGAUAAUUACGCAACACAUUAUUAUCUCUAUGUAAACCCGACGUCUGGGCCUUUCUUCCAUAUCUCCUGAUAACCCCCUACACAAAUAGACAAACACCAAAACUCGUGGAAUUCUGUCAGAUAAAACCCUAAGUCUGGUUGUCGGUUGCAUUUGGAUCCUUUUCUUUGUUUAUUUAUUGAUUAUAUUUGAUACUUAAGGAUCGUCAACACAUGACAUACUCAAACACAAGCAUAGAGAGCUUAAAUAAACAAGUUAAACAACAUCUAUGCAUAAAGUGACAUGUUCCAAGGUGAAUGAUGACCAUGGUAUGCUUAUGAAGAUGAUGAUGCUCAUGUCAUGCAUUUGAAAGGAUGCAACUAUAACACUGGGGUGUUACACCUGAUAAUUAGUGGUUGAUAAAAGGAUGCAACUCCAUGGAGUGAGUGCUUUGAUUGUGGAUCAAAAUUUGGGGAUCCCUUCUUUCUUCUUGGCUACGAGUGAGCUGUGUCUCCCUUGUGUAAAAUUAUUGUGUCUCUCUUCAUCUCCAGUGUGAACUCACCUCAGGACUUUCCUAUUUUAGAUUUGAUAAUUUUCCUGCAGGGGUUAGUCCAAAAAAAAUAUUCCAAUAUCUACUAUAGCAUACUACCAGCUCAAAAAUCAACCAAGACACCAUGUUUAAUUUGAUUCAAGAAGUCAUUUUAACCAUGCAUAAUUAAAAGACUUUGAAAGUAAUAUCACCACUUCUAAACUAAGUACCAUACUUCAUUUAAGACAUGAAUGAAACUACUCCAAACCUAAACAUAUACUAUAGCAAACAAAGGUAGCAUGAGAGCAUUAUUCAGGUCUACUCUAAUAGUGACGAUAGAGCAUGUCUUAAAGGUCGAGAACAACCAAAAUGAUGUAGCAACAUGGCAAGAUGUAUCUAUGGAAGCAUAUUGUUGGGUAUUCUUAACAUCAUUACCAAAAGUAGACUUAGUUUUCUAAUUCUGAUAACGGUGCCAAAAUGCCAAACCUAUCCCUCAUACCACUUAAGCCAAGUUGUCAUCCCCAGCAUGACAUGAGAGACACGGUACUGAAAUAUGCAAUUGCUCUUCUAAAUAAAUAAUGAAUAGGAUCUGCAAGCACAUAGAUUAAUACCGAUGUAGCAUUUUAACCAGGAAGUAUUCCAGGUAUCGUUAUUUAUAUUUUUACCACUGGGAAGGGAUUAGCAGUCAUCAAUAUUUAUUACAGAAUAGAAUAUGAGAUUGAGUAUCUAUCAUUGCAUGUAUAAUUGAGAACAUUUAUUUAACUCUUUCAUACAGGGGUAAGUGUCACAUAAAGGAUAUAUAAAGUAAUAAAUAGUGACAAAGAUAAUUAAUCUGAUCAGCAUAACUUAGCCACAUAAUAAAUAUGAUAAGCACCUCAAUUAGAUACUCUAGAAAGUCAUUAGCAUGGAAUUAGAACGAACUACAAGAAUGUUUACUAAGUUAUUCUCAACUAUAUAGUCUAGCAUUAUCAUAGUUAGUGCAAGCAUACUUAGCAAUCAUUGCGAGACAAGACUCGCCCAUGCAUAGUGAUAUUAGCAAGGUAAAAGAGAAACAUAGCAAUCACUCCCCUGUAAUAAUGUUGCUUUGCCAGCCCAAUACAUGAGAGGGGGACUAUAUAAGAAUCAAUGAAGCUGUCACUAUCACGAACUACCCCACGAUAUGGCAUAUUGGGUACAAUCGCAGAUAAAUACAGUAUAAGCACCAUGCCUACACAAUAUCUAUCAUUUACCCAUGGAUCCAAUGGAUAAACGCUAUAUGAUCCUAAACAUGUAUAUAGAUCCAAUCUAACUAAGCCAAGUAUAUAACUAUGAUAAACUAAGAACAAUAUAAUUUUGAAUAUAAGCAAGUAGAGCAAAGUCAUAAGCAAUAUAUUGAAGUAGAACAAAGUCAUAUUCAUAAUAUUGAAGAACAAAGAUAAUUAGAAGAACAAUUAGAAGCACAAUUAGAGAAUUACCAAGAAUCCUCUUGACAGAUCCGCAAACCAAUCGAAGAUUGACUCCUUAUAGUUCUAAUCCUAUGUAGCUAUGCUAAUCUAGAUAUCUAAUUGAUGUGGUGGCUCUAAUCUUGAUCAGAGGCGUCUUCUCCCUUGAGGAAUAAUGAAUUAGGGUUGAGAGGCUCUCUCCUCCAGGGGCUAGGGGGUCUGGUUUUAUAGUCACUUCAAGUUAAUAUGGGCCGUUGGAUCAAACCGACUUUGAUUGAACGGUUAUCCUUAAUCCUUUAGGUCGGUGGAGAUCUUUUCCAAAAGAGAGUCCUGUUUAGACUCCAACAGGUGGCGGGCGCCCAGGUCAACUGGGCGGGCGCCUAGUGCCUGGCUCCGUUCGGCCUUCGCUUCCUUCCCGUGGCUUCUGGAGUCUUCUAGAUGUAAGAUAAUUGCACGGCACGUUAAUAUCUCUAUGUAAUCCCAACGUGUGGUCCUUUCGUCCGUAUUUCCUGAUAACCCCCUACAGAAAUAAACAAACACCAAAACUCAUGGAAUUCUGUCAGAUAAAACCCUAAGUCUGGAUGUUGAUUUCAUUUGGAUCCUUUUCUUUGUUUAUUAGGUAACUAAAUUUGAUACUUAAAGACCGUCAACAAACUCCCCCAAGCAUACCUCUUGCUCAUCCCUUAGCAAGGAUAGACUCAGUAAUGGAUCACAAGUUGCUGCAAUAUCUUUAAAAAUUGACGGUACACAUGCUUUUAAAUAAGAUCUCAUCUCUGAGUUAGAGUAAACUGUCAAGACUUAAAACUUAUUCAUCUUACCUUUCACCAUGGGACUUGUAACCGUCACUUCUGUCUUGAGUAGUUAAAAGAUAGAACAGUCUAGUCAAGUGCCAUGUCUCUUAUUCUUGAUCAGCUAUAGCUCUGGAGUUCUUGCAGAUUUUCAAAUAAAACUCAAAGAUUCCUUGUAUGACUCUCUUAGAUCUCUCUUUUGUGGUAUUUCUGGAUCCUUACCAAGGCAGUGAUGGUAUAUGCCUUCUCUCAAGAUAUGUAAUAUUUGUGGUAUAAGGCAUAGUGACAUUGCCUUCUCUCUCACCAUACUCUAAUAAGGCUUUUAUAUCUGGAGCUCAUAGGUGGGAGAUAAAGUACACAUACUUACAAAACAUUUAUUGUAUAGUCAAACCAUGGAUCCAAAGAAACAAAUCAAUAAGUCAAAUCAAGAUGUGCAUGUGUGGCGAAUGAAUGAUGUAUGGUGAUGAUGGUGAUAACAAUGGUGGAAGUCUAAUUCUACUUUUGAUCUUUGAGGGGAUACAUACCUUCCUUGCUCUUUGAUACUUUGUGAGGAGAAUGAGAUGCUCUUUAUUUCAUUUUUCUUUCCUCUCAGGUGGGUAUCUUGUACCCCUAAUUCUACAGUCGGACACUUGUCCAUUUUUUCCUCUCAUCUCAUAUUUUCUUUUCUUUCGAGGUUCCGGGCACUUGCCCCUUUUUAUUUACUCAUAUCUUUUUUUUAUUUUUAGAGCACUCAUCCUUUGAGAUAAUAUAGCAAGUGGUAGUAACAAGAUAACUUGAGCAUUUAUUUCAUAGGGGAAAAACAGAAAUAUUUUUGGCUAUUCUCUCCCGGAUUAGGAGUAGAAUGUUUUUGGGUGAUUCUGGAGAUGGAAAUGAGUGGAUAUAUGUGGAUGGUACUUCCAGAGUAGAAGCAGCAUGUGUGAGUGAACGUGGAAGUGAAUCUUGAUUUAACCACAUGACAAGCUCCUAAGGGUCUACAUAGCUUGACCACACUCAAUGCUCAUAAGCAGUAAAAAGUAAAUGUGUAUCUCAAAGUCUAGCAAGCAUGUAUAUAUGGCUGUGGUAGGAAUUUAAAAUCUCAUCAUACAGGAACUCAUCAUGCAAUAUUUUAAAGAUGUUAAAAAGAUAAAAUUCUCCAGAAUUCUAGCAUCUCAUGGAACAGAUAAACAGCAGCUUAACUUUCCGAUAUCAUAUCCGUUAACAACUUAGAGUUCAGAUCAAGUUUUCUUCCCACAUGUUCAGGUUUAGAGCAAGCUUUAAAUCAUAACAGUUAUGUCUAAACUUGAGAGGGAACUUUCAAAUUUUAAAAUUGGGCAGAGCAACUAUUCAUCAUAUCCAUGCUAGAGUUUUAUUAUUAAGAUUCAGAUUAGCAUAGACACUUUAUUUAUUUAUUAAACACACUAAGCAAAAGAUGUAUAUAUAAGCACAAAAUCUUUAUUUGGUUUUUCAUGUUUAUGUAUAUUUAUAGUACAUGUAUAAAGAUAGAUAGAAAUACUUAUCGGGAUAAAUGGGGGUGCUCUCCCCCAAGCUGAAUUUUGAUGUAAUUUCCCUUGAUGUAGCUAGCAGGUGGCAGAGGUGUAUUUGAAAGUCGGCAGUAUCCUGACAGCAAUUAGAAUGUCCUCCGUCUUCUAGUCUUUAUGAUUCUUAAAUUCUGUGGAGCUCAAAUAGACCACAAAGCUUUGUGGAACUUGAUUAAGUGUUAGCAUAAAUAUCUAGCCUUUGUCAUGUUGAGACUCCGCAAUAAAUAUUACUCUCUAUUUUUAUAUUUUCAUUUUAUAAAGCAGAAAUGAAAUAUUUGUUUUGUUUUUAUGCCACCACAGUGAAUGUACUCAUGGGUUUCAUGCCACUCAUAUACUCACAUGGGGCUUACUAUUUUUUAACAUUUUUAUUUUCUUUUUAGAAUAGUAUGAACAUGAUUAACUAAGAAAACUAUUUUAAAUAAUUGAAAAGAGAAAAGAUAACUACCAAGUUUACCUCUUGGCAAGGCGUUCGGUGUUUUUUAAGUCCUCCGAAUGGGACUCUCCGUUAUCUAGUUGUCCUGGGAUUUGUUGGGUGGCGGAGUCGGUACUUCCGGCAGCGCCUCCUCUUCAUGUAUAGUUAUCUACUCUCUCCACACCUGACUUGGUGCUUCGGUCUCCUCAGGAUAGUUCUGUUUAAACUGUAUGUCUUCAGCCCUUAUCACUUCUCCUUCAUAGUCUGCCCAUCCGUCCUUGAUGAUCUGCCUCCUCUGGUUGCCGUUGCGUCAUUUCCUGACCUGAUUAGAUUUUUCAAAGAUGUAGUUAGGGUUAGUAAAAUAAUGGCGUACCUUCUCUGAGGGGAAGUGCAUAUGGACUUCUCCGGUUCCAAUGUAGAUGAUUGCUUUAACGGUGCUGAGGAACGGUCUUCCAAGGAUGAUGGGUGGAUCGUACUCGUCUUCUCCCAUGUCAAUAACCUGAAAGUCUGUGUAGACAAAAUGAUCGUCUAUUUUGACAGGGACAUCACUUACUGUUCCUUUAACUUCUCAAAACGUCUGAUCUGCCAUCUGGAGCUGAAUAUAUGUUGGUUUUAAGGGCAUGGUUCCGAACAAGAGCCGAUAGGUGACUGCGGCCAUUAUGUUGACGCCCAAUCCUGUGUCGCAAGUCGUCUUGUAGAAGUUGUAUCCAUUUAUGGAGCAAUAGAUGCUUGGCAUUCCUGGGUUGUCCUUCUUGGUCAAAAAUGGUGACUUAAGUUGUUGAUCUUGGCCUCUAUGAACUGCAGUGACCAUCUUAGCUGACUCGGUCCACACUUGCUUGUUCCUAUUCCUCGUGUUGGUCCUCUUCCUUGAUUCACGUCUGGAUUGAUCUGGGAUUUGUGUAGUCUUGUUCUUGAAGGAAAACGUCUCCUUCCUCCCUUUGAUGUAGAAACUGAUCUUAGCAGCACUGGCGUAGAUGAUAGCUUCCGAGGUGUUUAAGAAUAGCCUCCCUAAGAUGAUGGGUGCCAUCUCAUCAUUACCAGUCUCUAUCACCACGAAGUCUGCUGGGGCGUACAAGGUACCAACUCAGACACAAAUGUUCUUCAAUAUUCCUUUUGCAAAACUUAAUGCCUGAUCUGCAAACUGCAAACACAUGGUUGUCUCUAAUAAAGGAUAUGUAAUGAAUUUUUCAUAGAGUACCAUGGGUAUAAUGUUAACGCUAGAGCCAAAGUCGCAGAGUGCUUCUGGGACGUCCACCAUGCCGAUGGAGAUCGAGAUGACGGGGCGUCCUGGAUCGCCUCUCUUGACCGGCAGAAGGUCAGUAGUAACUUCAGUGACGGGGUUACUCCAAUUAUUACCUGCAUCAAACAUGUCUACAAGAUUUGUAGAUUCUAAUCCUUCCGGUUGUGAUGGUAUACUGGGGUUAGUAGUAGGAACAACAGCAGCUAUUUGAUUUAACUGAGAUUCAAUCAUUUUAUUAAAGCUAAUUUAAUUCUUGAUGGCAGUAGAGAAAUUAUCCAUUCUAUUAUUUAUAUUUUCUAGCAUUUUAUCAUUAGAUGUCAUUUUCUUAGAUAGGUUAUCCAUUAGCUUUCCUUGAUUAGAUACUAACUCUCUCAAAGGUGGAAAAUUAUUAGUAUUAUUGUAAGAAUUAUUACCUUGAUAAUUACCUGAGUAGUUAGGCCUUUGUUGAUUCCAACCUUGAUUUUGUUGAGGACGGUUGUAGUAGUAGUUGUUGUUGUUGUUGAUGUAGUUCACAUCCUCAAGCAUCUCAGGGCAGUGAUUGCCUGAGUGUCCAGUAUCUCCACACUCCUCAUAAGUCAUGUGAGAAUCGUAGAUGUGCAUAACUUCUUUCUUAUCUCCAGCUCUAUCGUCGAGCUUCUUCAUGAGCAGGUCUAGCUUUACAGACAACAUGUCUACCUCCUUGAGCUGAUGCAUACCUCCACCUCUCUUGCGUGUCUGGGUCCUUUCUUCAUUCCAGUCUUGGUUGGAUGCCAUCUUCUCCACAAGAGCUGUGGCUUGUGAUAUGGUAAGUGAUAAGAAUGCUCCUCCAGCUGCAGCAUCCAUGGUUUCUCGGGCACUGUUGCCGAGCCCAUGAUAAAAUGUCUGCAUUAGUAGCCAACUCUCCAUUCCAUGAUGGGGACAUUCUAGGAUGUAGUCUUGGAAGCGCUCCCAUGCUUCUGGAACAGAUUCAUCAUUUUGUUGCUGAAAACUUGUAAUUUUCCCACGGAGAGCAUUGGUCUUGCCCAUGGGAAAGAACAUAGCCAGGAAGUUUGUUGAGCAGAGUGCCCACAUAGUAUUCUUCUCCUUUGUAGCUGUUGACGGUCCUUAAGUACCAAAUAUAAUCAUCAAAUAAAUAAAGAAAAGGAUCCAAAUGAAAUAAACAUCUAGACUUAGGGUUUUAUUUGACAGAAUUCCACGAGUUUUGGUGUUUGUCUAUUUCUGCAGGGGGUUAUCAGGAAAUAAGAAAGAAAGGCCCACAUGCCAGGAUUACAUAGAGAUAUCAACGCACCGUGCAAUUUUCUACCAUCUAGAAGACUCCAGAAGCCACGGGAACGAACGAGAAGGCAAACGGGCCCGGGGGCAGGGCGCCCGCCCACCCCCCUUGGGCGCCCGCCCAGGUGUUUCCACCAAUCACAAUCUCAUCGAGCUGAUCGAAAUGCAUAUAUUAUUUGCUAUAUUUGGAGUUCGGAAUCAAGAGAUAUUAAUAAAAGAAGGACUCCACAUAAAAGAGCUGCGGGAUUAAUUGGGCCCAAAUCAGAUUUUGGUCCAUUAAGGCCUAUGUGCAUUUUAAUGAGAUAUGGUGGAAAGUUUAGUACCACAUCGCCUGCUGAACCAAAAACGCACAGAGGAGGAGGACUAUAUAAGCAAGGCCCCUGGCCCCUGGAGAAGACAAGAAAUUAUCAUAGAGAUUGAGGGGUGCCCUCGAAGGAAAACCUCUUCUCUAAAUAAUAUUUCUUUUUAGGCUUAGCAACCAAUGUAAAGUAGAAAUAGAUCUUCUAGUUUCUACUAGAUUGAGAGAGAUAGAGUGGAGGUGUGGAUCGGAGGAAGGCCGGCUUGUCGGUGUCUACUCCGAGUUGUACCUACGGGAUCAAGUCUCCUAACCCGAGGCUUGCUUCUAAGAUUCUUUAGUAAUUCGACUUCUAAUACUAGUAAGUUCUUGUUUUAUUGUUCUUUGGUUUAUGAGUUUACUUUAAUCCUCUUCCGGUUGAGUAUUAGAGUAAUCACUUGCUAGCGUAAACGUGGUGUUUAGGCUAGGGUACUCAUAGAUAUCCCCUGACUAGCUGGACCGUGGUAGUAGCGAGGAACGUGACAUUUCCGAGUUACCUUUGGAGAUCACAUCUCGUUAGCAGGACGGGUAGGUUUAUAGGUGCGGGUCGAACAUCCUUUGUGUUGUCUAGAUUCCGUGAGCCUCCCCAAUAGAACAGUAGAUCAUCCUUACCAAGGUUAGAACGAGACUACGGUUGCAGUCUUCUCUAUACAUCACUCACAUCGAGAGACAUUCUUUGUAGCAUAAAGGGAUAGUAGCAAUAGAUUUGGUUAGUCAGAUGCACCCUUUCUUCCAGUGGUAAAAAUAUAAAUACGAUACUCUGGAAAACCUCCUGGGUGAAAUGCUCACCGAUAUCUGUGCGCUUGCGGAUCAUUUUCUAAUUGCGUUACCAAAUAUCAACAGUAGCGUAGAACCACUGCUUCGCACUCCCUAACAGUGAGAAUGGGAAGAGGCGAAGUAGUAUAGCAUCUCUAGGGACUCCUGAUAUGGUAAAUGUGUUGCAAAUCUCCAGGAAGUUGGAGAUGAGCACUAGCAUCUUCGUGUGCCUUCCCACAGAACUGGUUGGAUUGCACCAUGUUGAUAAGUCCAGGCUUGAGCUCAAAGUUGCCAUCGAUCUCUGCGGCAGGUCCAGUGCGGAUGUUUUCCGUAGUGGGAGCUGAGAACUCGCGGAUUGAUUUGUUCGCCAUGGCUUCGAACUCUGAAGACAAGUUCCGGUGAUCUUCUUGAUUGGAUGAAGCUUCUUGCUGAAGUGUUGAUGAUCUCUUCUUGAGCUUGGCUCUUGUUUUUCUGAAUAACGCUUCGGGAUUGUCAACAAAAUUUCCUGGAAGAUGUCUUCUAUUCAUACAUUCCCCUGCAUAAGAUAAAAUAGAAAAAUAUCGGGGUAAAACUGUAUGAGAGAAUAGAUAAGCUCAAUCAUAUUAGUGAUGCGAAUGAUAACUCAAAAUUCUAUAUUCAUUCCUGAUUAGUAAUCAACCUUCCCCGGCAACGGCGCCAAAAAUGCUUGUUGGGUAUUCUUAACAUCAUUACCAAAAGUAGACUUAGUUUUCUAAUUCUUAUAACGGUGCCAAAAAUGACAAACCUAUCCCUCAUACCACUUAAGCCAAGUUGUCAUCCCCAGCAUGACAUGAGAGACGCGGUAUUGAAAUAUGCAAUUGCUCUUCUAAAUAAAUAAUAAAUGGGAUCUGCAAGCGCACAGAUUAAUACCGAUGUAGCAUUUUAACCGGGAAGUAUUCCAGGUAUCGUUAUUUAUAUUUUUACCACUGGGAAGGGAUUAGCAAUCAUCAAUAUUGAUUACAGAAAAGAAUAUGAGAUUGAGUAUCUAUCAUUGCAUGUAUAAUUAAGAACAUUUAUCUAACUCUUUCAUACAGGGGUAAGUGUCACAUAAAGGAUAUAUAAAGUAAUAAAUAGUGACAAAGAUAAUUAAUCUGAUCAGCAUAUCUUGGCCACAUAAUAAAUAUGAUAAGCACAUCAAUUAGAUACUCUAGAAAGUCAUUAGCAUGGAAUUAGAACGAACUACAAGAAUAAUUCCUAAGUUAUUCUCAACUAUAUAGUCUAGCAUUAUCAUAGUUAGUCCAAGCAUACUUAGCAAUCAUUGCAAGACAAGACUACGCCCAAGCAUAGUGAUAUUAGCAAGGUAAAUGAGAAACAUAGCAAUCACUCCCCUGUAAUAAUGUUGCUUUGCCAGCCCAAUACACGAGAGGGGGACUAUAUAAGAAUUAAUGAAGCUGUCACUAUCACGAACUAUCCCCACGAUCUGGCAUAUUGGGUACAAUCGCAGAUAAAUACGAUAUAAGCACCACGCCUACACAAUAUCUAUCAUUUACCCAUGGAUCCAAUGGAUAAACGCUAUACGAUCCUAAACAUGUAUAUAGAUCCAAUCUAACUAAGCCAAGUAUAUAACUAUGAUAAACUAAGAACAAUAUAAUAUUGAAUAUAAGCAAGUAGAGCAAAGUCAUAAGCAAUAUAUUGAAGUAGAAAAAAGUCAUAUUCAUAAUAUUAAAGAACAAAGAUAAUUAGAAGAACAAUUAGAAGCACAAUUAGAGAAUUACCAAGAAUCCUCUUGACAGAUCCGGAAACCAAUCGAAGAUUGACUCCUUCUUGUUCUAAUCCUAUGUAGCUAUGCUAAUCUAGAUAUCUAAUUGAUGUGGUGGCUCUAAUCUUGAUCAGAGGCGUCUUCUCCCUUGAGGAAUAAGAAUUAGGGUUGAGAGGCUCUCUCCUCCAGGGGCCAGGGGGUCUGGUUUUAUAGUCCCUUCAAGUGAAUAUGGGCCGUUGGAUCAAGCCGAUAUUGAUUCAACGGUUAUCCUUGAUCCUUUAGGUCGGUGGAGAUCUUUCCCGAAAGAGAGUCCUGUUUGGACUCCAACAGGGGGCGGGCGCCCUGGUCAACUGGGCGGGCGCCCAGUGCCUGGCCCCGUUCGGCCUCCGCUUCCUUCCCGUGGCUUCUGGAGUCUUCUAGAUGUAUGAUAAUUGCGCGGCACGUUAAUAUCUCUAUGUAAUCCCGACGUGUGGGCCUUUCUUCCGUAUUUCCUGAUAACCCCCUGCAGAAAUAGACAAACACCAGAACUCGUGGAAUUCUGUUAGAUAAAACCCUAAGUCUGAAUGUUGAUUUCAUUUGGAUCCUUUUCAUUGUUUAUUUGAUAAUUAAAUUUGAUACUUAAGGACCGUCAACACAUAUCCCCCAAGCUUGACUUUUGAAAAAAAAUCAAGAUUGGGUGAAAGUAAUUCAAUGUUGCAAAAUGAUUGGUUGGACAUACCUUGCAUUUAUCACUCCUUUGAUCUUUUUGCUCCAAACCUGGUAAGGUUAGUGACAAGAACACCCGAAGGAAUAUUUUGACAAUUAUAAUUUUAUGCUCAAUUAACAAGGGUAGCACAAUAGGAAGGUGAACACUCGUGUCAUGGUCUAAACAGUUCUUAUUUAAGGACACUAAGCUUGUCCUUGGUAAACCUUCAAAUGUUUUUGGUGAAGUGGUUUCUCUUCCAACACCAACCUUAAGAGCACAAUGAGAUCUGCAAUAUUUAUGAUAUACAUAUGCAUCGACAACUGUUGGUAUAAAUUAACUACACUCCAUUUAAAUAGAUUUAAGUAAGAUUAUCCGCAAGCGCACAGAUAUCAUACCAGUGUUACAUUUUACCUUGAGGUUUUAAAUAUCGAAUCCACAGGGAACAGUUGUGAUGAUGACAUAGUAUAUAGACUUAACCCUACAAUUAGGCUAGAUUAUAUCAAAAAAAGGAAAUAACUAAUGCACUCUGGUUCUGACUCUAGUAAACUUUGUAUAAUACCAUCUUAUCGGGCAAGUAAUCCGAAUAGGGGAAGAAUCAGAGUAAUCCCCUAUCAGGCACCUAUAAGCCUAUCAACCCUAUCAACGGGAAGUGGACUAUAGAGGAAUCAACAUAGCUGUCACCUACGGGAACUACCACUGUCCGGCUGAUCAGGGGACAUUCGCAAGUUAACCUAACAUAGGCACCACGCCUACACUACAAAUUACUACUUCAACCAAGUUACGACCAAGAUCAAAGCACUCAGUAUGAGUUGUGAACUAAAGAACAAAUAAGAACAAGAUGCUUACUUAAACUAGAAGGGUAAGUACAAAAGUACCUCAGAACGUAGCUUUGGGCAAGGGAACUGAAUCUAGACGAAUAUAGCUACGAAGAAGCAAUGACAGGCCGGAACUCCUCUAGAAUCUCUACUCCUCUACUUAAUCUCUCUAAUCCUUAAACAAGACUAGAUCUAGAAGAACUUGUCUCUCCUAAUUGCUACAUCUAGAUGAACUAGAACUAGAUAAACUAGAGGGACCCUAACCCAAAUUAUGUAGAGAAUAUGAAGCGCCGGGUGUGUAGAAUGCCUCCUGGAGGGAGCCUUAGGCGUCAUUAUAUAGGCUGAGGUAGAGUAGGGGCAAGGAACUGCCACAUCAGUGAUCCACGACUUCGUCUUGUGUGCACUAUCGAUCAAACCGGCUAAAAAUCGACAGAGGGAUACUUUGCUUGGCUUCCAAGGAUGCAUGGGAGGAAGACUCAAGAAGGCGGCAGACAUUGGGCGAAACAGGGCGUCGACCGGCCCUAGGGUGGGGCCGGCUGGCCCCACCUUUUAUCCUCCAUGGCUCUCGUUCCUUCGGGUGUCUUCUAUACACUUCCUGAGUCUUCUCGUGAUAUUUUCCGGCGUGUAUGACUUUCGUGGUAAAUAUUGUUGAUAUUUGGGAACGCAAUAAGGAAUUGAUCCGCAAGCGCACGGAUAUCGGUGAGCACUUCACCCGGGAAAUUAUCCAGAGUAUCGUAUUUAUUUUUUUACCACUAGGAGAAAGAGUGCAUCUGACUAACCGGUCUAUUACUACUAACCUUUAGGCACAAAGAAUGUCUUUCGAUGUGAGUGAUAAAUAGAGAAGACUGCAACCGUAGUCUCCUUCUAACCUUGGUAAGGAUGAUCUACUGUUCUAAUGGGGAGGCUAACGGAAUCUAGACACCACAAAGGAUGUUCAACCCGCACCUAUAAACCCUAGCCUUCCUGCUAACGAGAUGUGAUCUACAAAGGUAGUUCGGAAUUGUCACGUUCCUCACUACUACCACGGUCCAGCUAGUCAGGGAAUAUCUAUGAGUACCCCAGCCUAAACACCACGUUUACGCCAGCAAUGAUUACUCUAAACUCUAUGCGAAGAGAUUAAAGUAAACUCAUAAACCAUAAGAACAAUAAAACAAGAACUUACUAGAAUUUAGAAGUCGAAUUACUGAAGAAUCCUAGGAGCAAGCUUCGGGUUAGGAGAACUUGAUCCCGCAGGUACAAGCUUGGAGUAGACACCGACAGGCCGGGCUUCCUCCACUCUUCACCUCCACUCUAUCUCUCUCAAUCUAGUAGAAACUAGAAGAUCUAUUUCUACCUUACAUUGGUUGCUAAGCCUAAAAAGAAAUAGUAAUUAGAGAAGAGGUUUUCCUUCGAGGGCACCCCUCAAUCUCUAUGAUAAUUUCUUCAUGUCUUCUCCAGGGGCCAGGGGGCCUUGCUUAUAUAGUCCUCCCCUUCUAUGCGUUUUUGGGUCGAUAGGCGAGGUGGUACUAUGUUUUUCUUGAUCCAAUAGGUCGGUGGAAUAUCCCGAACGAAAGAGUCCUGAUUUGGCUCCAGCAGGGGGGCGGGCGCCCAGGCUACCAGGGCGGGCGCCCUGGGCCUGGCCCAGUUUUGCCUCCGCUUCGGUCUCGUGGCUUCUGGAGUCUUCUAGAUGAUGUAAAAUUACGCGGUGCGUUGAUAUCUCUAUGUAAUCCCGACAUGUGGGCCUUUCUUCCUUAUUUCCUGAUAACCCCCUGCAGAAACAGAUAAACAACAAAGCUCGUGGAAUUCUGUCAGAUCAAACCCUAAUUCUAGGUGAUGGUUGCAUAUUGGUCCUUUCUCUUGUUUAUUUGAUAAUUUAAAAUUGAUACUUAAGAACCGUCAACAAAUACCCCCAAACUUAGGCUUUUACUCGUCCUCGAGAAAAGGAUGGUUAAGAAAAAUAUCUAGGGUAAACUUUUUAAAGUAUUCUCUUUAUAAUUGUAGGGUGUUAAAAAUUUCCACUGUGUACCAUAGCCAGGGAUAUAUAUGAUCAAGAGUAAAGAUCCUUUCUUCUCAAUCUUGCCACUUGGAGCUUUUGUAUAUUUUUGAAAGAAAGUUAGCAUACCUUUUUAUCCUCAUAGGUUCUCUCAGAUCACUCAUUAUCUUUUAUAUAUCUCACUGAGGCUGUUCUAUUUUGCAAAAAUUCUCAAGCAUACUUACUUUGCAUUUAUUGCCUAAUCAAAACGGGAUCCGAGGAGGGGAAUGUCAUACUCUUAGAUCAAAGACUUUGGAAAUUAAAAACUUUGUCAUCUCUUGCUGGCAUAUUGCUUAUUAGAGGGACCAUGGGCUAUCAUUUUUUUCUCUUUUCUCUUCUUUUUUUUAAGUGGAUACCGAGGUACCCCUAAUUCUACUGCCGGACACUUGUCCAUUUUUUCUGCGAGGUUGUCGAGCACUUGCUCCUUUUUAUUUCCUCGAAAUAUCUCUAUUUUUGCAUAGCCCAUGCCUCUAAUGCAAUAAUACUUCGGAACAGUGAAUCUUUCUGAAAUAAUGUCUUGAUCUUAGGAGCAUGAUAAAUCUCUCAACAAGGGUCUAACUCAUUUUAAACAAACUCAAUACAGAGCAGAUAGCUUUUAUAAUCAUAAUUAAUAUUUUCAGUUUUAUCAGGCAUAUAAAACACUGAGGAUGGUAGCUAGAAUUUUGAACAUUUUGAAAUAAAUUCUCCAAGCAACAAUGAUAUCAAGAAUAAGAAACUCAUACUCUACCAUCACAUAUUCCAUAUUGACUUAAGUAACACAGGGUUUUAAAAUGAUUUUAUAAUAAUUGCAAAUUUUCAGGAAAUAUCAUAGAUUGAGAUUAAUCAUGAUUAUAAAUAUUUUAAUCUUUUUUAUUUUAUCAUGUCGGAAACAAUAAUCUGCAUAAUCCAAAAUAUAUAUAUGUGUAAAGUAAAGUGUGCAGAGUGUGUACCUAAGUGGUGGAGUUGGAGUGUGUUUGGCAUGUCGAGGGAUCUCCCCCAUACUUGUUUUCUGCUUUCUUACAAAAAUAAAGUAGAGACACAAAAGACAUAAUAAUAAUACUCUUUAUUAAUCUUGAGGCAUUUAUUACAAAAGACUAGUAGCAAACUGAUGAUAAUAGUAAACUGAUGAUAAUAGUAAACUGAUGAUAAUAGCAAACCUAAACCGAAUUUAAAGAUAAAUGACUAAGAUGUAUUGCCUCAAGGUCUAAUCUAGAUAACUUAGCGGCGCUCUAAUCCCUUGAUCUUCUUGUUGGCACUGGCAAGAUCCUGCCUAAGGCCUAGUAUAAUGGUCUUGUGGUUAGAGAGCUGCCUAGUGAGGGAGUUGAUCGAGGACUGGAGAUCUAUGAUAACUCUAUCUAGCCUGCGAACUUCCUCAUCAAUAUCUAUUAUAGUCUUGCGACGCUUGGGAGGUGUCUCAAAAGCAUUCAGAGAGUGCUUCGGGGCUGCCUUUGGAGGGAUGAAACGGACUUUGGAUGCUCUAAUCCCUUCAAAGUAAGGCCUUUCCUCCUCCGUAGUGUAGCGAACACUGCUGAUCUCGCCGCUCCGGCUGGUCUUGACUCCAACGACCCUCUCAUUGGGUCUAGGUGGAAGGAUCCUUGUGCCGAUUGGCACCUUGAUAGUGGUCUUCGUCUUGGAUGAUGGUCCUUUGAGGAGUAGGGGUUGUGGUGGUGCGGUGAGAACUGGUUGAGCAUGGUAAGAUUGGGCGGAGCUACGUUGGCAUGAUGGCAUGGCUUCUAGCUGACGCUCUGUGUUGGCCGGGACGAGAGCACGGGCAUCGGGGUCUUCCACUGGCUCCAUGUUGAGGUUGAAGGGGACGACUUCCCAAUCGUCGUGGUACUUGUCGGCCAUUGGAGCAGCAAGGAACUAAUAAAAUUUUAAUUGAAGUAGGGUUUAUCAAGCUCUAAUUGAAGGAGAGCUAAUCAAGCUCUAAUUGAAGGAGAGAAAGCUUGGUGGCCUGGUGUUUGAAAACUGAGGUCAGGGGUCUGUUUAUAUAGGGGUCAAAAGGAUGCCUCUAUGGGUUGUUCGGGUUGCUCCCGUCGAUGUGCGUGCGAAACUUUCCAUCCGAGGGAUUAUUCGGAUCACCCUAAGUGCAUUUUCCAUAACAGAGAAAGUCGGGACCGAGGGGGAAUAGGGGCUGGGCGCCCGCCCACUUGAGCUGGGCGCCCGCCUUCUCUCUGGCCCCUCUGUGGGCCCACUUCUCCGAGCGCGUUUCUAGAUGCGGAAUUAUUUAGAAAAAUAUAUAUAUGACCCAAAACCAUCAGACCAAAAGUGUCGGGCUCUAAUUCUCUAUGGGAAGGUAAAAAUGGACUACGUCUAUUUCUUCAAAUUCCUCAUUGGGCUCUAAAAAUAAUUUAAGACGUUGACCAUUUACCUUGAAUAACGUACCUUCGCUAUUUUGAAGUGUGAUAGCUCCGUGGGAUGAUGAGUUGAUUACCUUGAAUGGCCCUUCCCAUUUGCUCCAGAGUUUUCCAUGCCCGAAAAGCUUUACCCUGGAAUUAAAAAGUAAUACCUUAUCUCCGGGUGUGAACUCCUUCUUCUUGAUUCUCUUGUCAAGCCACCUCUUGACUCUUUCUUUGUAGAUCUUUGAAUUGUGAUAUGCCUUCUCUCGCCAUUCUUCUAAUUCUGAUAGUUGCAUUCUUCUAUAAUCUCCAGCAAUAUCUAGGUCCAUAUUCCAUCUCUUUAUGGCCCAGUGUGCUUUGAACUCUAGUUCAACAGGUAGAUGGCAAGUCUUCCCGUACACCAAUUGGUAUGGAGACAUUCCGAUUGGGGUCUUGUAUGCUGUCCGGUAUGCCCAGAGUGCAUCAGGUAGCUUGUCUUUCCAUGCCGUUCCCAUUUCAUUUACUGUCUUCUGAAGAAUAUUCUUGAUUUGUUUGUUGGAAGUCUCUGCUUGGCCACUUGUCUGAGGAUGAUAAGGGGUAGCAACGUUGUGACGGAUUCCAUGUCUUGAUAGACAUUGCUUGAAGCGUUUGUCGAUGAAGUGUGCUCCUCCAUCACUUAUCACUACUAUGGAACUCCAAAUCUUGGAAAUAUAGUUUCUUCAAACAUCCUCUUUGAACUGACGUUGUCGGCAUGCUUGCAAGGUAAUGCUUCUACCCACUUGUAGACAUAGUCAACCGCCACCAAGAUGUACUCGCACUGCUUUGAUGGAGGAAAUGGACCCAUGUAGUCUAUUCCCCAGACAUCAAAGAGCUCAAUCUGAAGGUUGUUGGUGAGUGGCAUUGCAUCCCUUGUAUUUAUGUUUCCGUGUCUUUGACAUGGCCCACAUCUUCUGAUAUAUUGCUUCGUGUCUUCAUACAUUGUAGGCCAGUAGAAUCCACACUGCCAGAUCUUUGAAUGUGUACGGAAUGCUCCAUAGUGACCUCCAUAUGGUGAUGAAUGACAUCUGUCGAUGAUCUUCCAUCCUUCCUCAGUGGUCACACAUCUCCUGAGUAAGCCAUCAGAGCAUACUCGGAAGAGGUAUGGCUCGUCCCAUAUAUGUGAACGACUUUCUUGAAUAAGCUUCUUCUUGUUUGCUCCUGGUGGUACAUACCCUGAAACCAUAAAAUUAACAAAAUCUGCAUACCAGGGGUCACACCUGUUAAUCCCGUAGAGCAUGUCGUCCCGGAGUGAAUCAUUGAUGGGGGUUUCCUGUGGAUUCUUAAAAUACAUUCUAGACAAGUGAUCAGCAACAGAAUUUUCUACUCCUUUUUUAUCUUUUAUUUCUAAGUCAAAUUCUUGGAGUAAUAAGAUCCAUCUAAUCAGGCGAGGUUUAGCAUCUUUUUUAGUGAGCAAAUAUUUUAAUGCAGCAUGAUUAGUGUAAACAAUUAUUUUAGCUCCAACUAAAUAAGAUCUAAAUUUAUCAAUGGCAAAGACAAUAGCCAGAAGCUCUUUUUCAGUAGUUGCAUAAUUAAGUUGAGCUCCUGUCAAAGUUUUACUGGCAUAAGCAAUUGCAUGAUGCUUCUUAUCUUUAGUUUGUCCCAAUACUGCCCCCACAGCAUAAUCACUAGCAUCACACAUAAUUUCAAAAGGCAACGACCAAUCAGGGGGUUGAAUGAUUGGUGCAGAGAUGAGUGCUUUCUUUAAUAAAUUGAAAGAUGUUAGACAUGCAUCAUCAAAUUCGAAAGGAGCAUCCUUGGCUAGCAAAAGAGUAAGUGGUCUAGCAAUAAAUGAAAAAUCUUUUAUGAAUCUACGAUAAAAACCAGCAUGGCCAAGAAAGCUUCGAAUUCCUUUUAUAUUCAAAGGUGGAGGUAGUUGUUCAAUUACUUCAAUUUUAGCUUUGUCGACCUCAAUACCUCUUUCAGACACUAAGUGUCCUAGCACUAUUCCUUCCCUAACCAUAAAAUGACAUUUUUCCCAAUUAAGGAUUAAGUGCUUUUCUUCACAUCUUUGCAAAACCUUGUCUAAGUUUUCAAGACAACUAUCAAAAGUUUUUCCAAAAACAGAGAAAUCAUCCAUGAAAACUUCCAUAAUCUCUUCAAUCAUAUCAGAAAAUAUAGACAUCAUGCAUCUUUGAAAAGUAGCUGGUGCAUUACAUAACCCAAAAGACAUUCUACGGUAAGCAUAAGUUCCAUAAGGGCAUGUAAAAGUGGUUUUGCUUUGAUCAUCAGGAUGGAUCAGGAUUUGAUGAUACCCUGAAUAUCCAUCUAAGAAACAGAAGAACGAAUGGUUUGCUAACCGCUCUAGCAUCUCAUCUAUAAAAGGUAAAGGAAAGUGAUCCUUUCUUGUGGCUUUGUUUAAUUUUCUAUAGUCUAUGCACAUCCGCCAUCCUGUGACGGUGCGUUGCGGAAUUAGCUCGUUCCUUUCAUUCAUAAUAACUGUCAUGCCUCCCUUUUUGGGCACAACUUGGACUGGGCUCACCCACUCACUGUGCGGCACAGGAUAUAUAAUCCCUGCAUGCAACAACUUUAUAACUUCCUUUUUUAACUACCUCUCUCAUAGUAUUAUUAAGUCUACGUUGGGGUUCUCGAGAGGGUGUAACAGAAGGAUCUGUUGGAAUACGAUGGGUACAAAUCAUAGGACUGAUUUCUGUAAGAUCUUGGAGUGAGUAGCCAAAAACUGAGUGAUGUUUCUCAAGAAUGGUCAUUAAUCGCAGAGUUUGAUCCUGAGUGAGUUUAUCACUAAUGAUUACUGGGAACUCUGGAUUAUUGUUUAGGAAAGCGUAUGUAAGACCGGGUGGUAAAGUUUUAAGCUCUAUGGGAGGUCUAGGUGUUUCUGCAAACUCAUCUAAGGGUUCAGGCUCGGAAGGUUCGUCUUCUUCUUCUGUGAAGAAAGGAGUUUCGUCUUCUAAGUCUGGUUCAUCUAAAAGCUCUAGAGAUGCAGCCUUUACUUCCUCCAUAGGAUCAGGCAAAAGAUAUGACUCGGCCUUAUUGUUUAAGGAGUGUGAAAUUAUUAUUGGGAAUUUAAAAGUUUUUCCAAAAGAAAUGUGUAGCUUUCCAGUAUGACCUUCAUAAAGGAGUCUUCUCAAAGGUUGUCCUAUCAACAGGUCGAAGUCCCAUGUAUUAAAGAUAUAGAAGUUCAAAUGAACCAUGGAGCCUUCUACCGUAAGAGGUAGGAUAUUAAUAAUUCCAAGACUGGGGACUAAUCGUCCCGAAGAUUCCUUUAUGACCUUUGUUGUGGGGGUUAAGAUAAGAUUUUUAAAUAGUUUAAGUGCAAAGGAUUCAGACAUAAUGUUGAUCCCCACAACAGGAUUAUAAAGAGCAUUAAAUCGAUCAGAAUUAUAAGCACAGCGUAUAGUUAUAGAGGGUGUGUCCAAUCAGAUCACAAUAGAGGAAAGCUCUGAUUCCUCCAACCAUUCGCUACUCAUGACUGAGAUAAGCUCUCUCAAUUGAUAUUCACUUGGUAAAUAAAUGCUAAACUGGCCGUUUUGGGGUUUGUCAAUAGAAUGGUAGUUUGAAAUAUUUCCAAAAUCGGCAAAAAGAUCGGAUUCUAUAUCCAGCAUGAAGUCCGGUGGUGGAAUUUCUUCCUCUUGUGGCUCAGAACUUGGGAUAGCUAAAGUAGAUGAACAAUUUGGCCGAGUGUCUACUUCGGCUUCGUAGGUUUCAUCAUGAAGGGUAUUAUCCAUCUCAGCUUCUAGGAUUCUAUCUAGGAUCACUCUAGCUUCAUCAGCAGGGAUGCGAAAGAAAGAACCUCUAGACAUUGCGUGCAGCAUUUGUUUGUGAUUUUUAUGAAGACCUCAAAAAAAGUGAAAUAAAAGAACAGGGUCUUCUAGAUUAAGGUUUGGACCAGAUUCUAAAAGAUCAGAAAAACGUUUCCAGGAUUUUCCCAAAGUUUCAUUAUCUUUUUGUUUAAAAGAUAGGACUUCGAGUCUAAGGUCGGCUAUACGGUCAAGGGAAUAGAAAUCUAGACAAAAGUUGGCUCGUAAAACUCCCCAUUCACCUUGUUGUUGACUUACCUUCUGACUGUACCAUUGUCUAGCUUCUCCCCUUAAGGAAAAAGGAAAAAGCUUCCAACGUAAAGUCUUAUCAGAAAUGCCUUCAAUGCGAAGACAAUCACAUGUUUGCUCAAAAUCUCUAAUAUGAAGGUAAGGGUUUUCGUCUUCCUUUCCCGAAAAAGAUAGGUUUUGAAUCAUGGCAAUCAACCUAGAACUUAACUUAUACUGGGAUGUUUGGAUAGGCUGUGAUGAUUCCCAUGGUAAAAGGUCAGUUGCUAAAGGGAUUGCAGACUCAUGGAUCGAUUUAGAAUCUUGGUUUUCCAUAAGGUAAGAGUAAAGAAAAUAAAUAAUAUAAAAGAUAAGAAAAGAUAAAAGUAUAGAUACAAGCUAAUAGCAAGACACAGGUUAUCUCAGCAACCAUCUUUCUCCCCGGCAACGGCGCCAGAAAUGCUUGUUGAUAUUUGGGAACGCAAUAAGGAAUUGAUCCGCAAGUGCACGGAUAUCGGUGAGCACUUCACCCGGGAAAUUAUCCAGAGUAUCGUAUUUAUUUUUUUACCACUAGGAGAAAGAGUGCAUCUGACUAACCGGUCUAUUACUACUAACCUUUAGGCACAAAGAAUGUCUUUCGAUGUGAGUGAUAAAUAGAGAAGACUUCAACCGUAGUCUCCUUCUAACCUUGGUAAGGAUGAUCUACUUUUCUAAUGGGGAGGCUAACGGAAUCUAGACACCACAAAGGAUGUCCAACCUGCACCUAUAAACCCUAUCCUUCCUGCUAACGAGAUGUGAUCUACAAAGGUAGCUCAGAAUUGUCACGUUCCUCACUACUACCACGGUCCAGCUAGUCAGGGAAUAUCUAUGAGUACCCCAGCCUAAACACCACGUUUACACCAGCAAUGAUUACUCUAAACUCUACGUGAAGAGAUUAAAGUAAACUCAUAAACCAUAAGAACAAUAAAACAAGAACUUACUAGAAUUUAGAAGUCGAAUUACUGAAGAAUCCUAGGAGCAAGCUUCGGGUUAGGAGAACUUGAUCCCGCAGGUACAAGCUUGGAGUAGACACCGAAAGGCCAGGCUUCCUCCACUCUUCACCUCCACUCUAUCUCUCUCAAUCUAGUAGAAACUAGAAGAUCUAUUUCUACCUUACAUUGGUUGCUAAGCCUAAAAAGAAAUAUUAAUUAGAGAAGAGGUUUUCCUUCGAGGGCACCCCUCAAUCUCUAUGAUAAUUUCUUCAUGUUCCAGGGGCCAGGGGCCUUGCUUAUAUAGUCCUCCCCUUCUAUGCGUUUUUGGGUCGAUAGGCGAGGUGGUACUAUGUUUUUCUUGAUCCAAUAGGUCGGUGGAAUAUCCCGAACGAAAGAGUCCUGAUUUGGCUCCAGCAGGGGGGCGGGCGCCCAGGCUACGAGGGCGGGCGCCCUGGGCCUGGCCCAGUUUUGCCUCCGCUUCGGUCUCGUGGCUUCUAGAGUCUUCUAGAUGAUGUAAAAUUACGCGGUGCGUUGAUAUCUCUAUGUAAUCCCGACAUGUGGGCCUUUCUUCCUUAUUUCCUGAUAACCCCCUGCAGAAACAGAUAAACAACAAAGCUCGUGGAAUUCUGUCAGAUCAAACCCUAAUUCUAGGUGAUGGUUGCAUAUUGGUCCUUUCUCUUGUUUAUUUGAUAAUUUAAAAUUAAUACUUAAGAACCGUCAACAAAUAUGCACUAGAAUCCCUCUCUUUUCAGCUCUUUGUGAAAUAAACCCUGGAAAAUACAGAAUAUGCAAAACUCGUGGAAAUUGUCAGAUUAAACCCUAGACUAAUGUACUUUGAUGUGUUCCAUUGUGUCUAAAGUUCUAAUAAAUAUUGACACUAUCGAACGUCAACAAUUCCCCAAAGCUUACCUUUUGCCAGUCCCUUGGCAAUCAACCCAAAACUUGGAUGAGGAGUUGCUACAAUACUUUCAUUUCUUUUAAGACACCUGAUUUUAAACAUACAUUGUCCUCUGGUCUACUUUCAAACUUACCCAUUUUACCUUUAACCAUAGAGCUUUAAAGCUUUUGCAUAAGUCUUGGGUAAUCAAAAGAUAGAACAAUCAAGUCAAGCACUAUGUCUCAAAUUUUUCACAGUACCAAUAAUCCAGAGUUUUGCAAGUUUUCAAAGUAAAACUUAGAGCUUAAUUGUAUGACACACUCAAGUCUCUUAUUAUGUAGUAUUUUUGGAUCUCACUGAGGCAUUAAUGAGGUUAUGCCUUCCUACAACUAAGUAUAUAUAUAGUGGAGCUUAUAGAAGUGGCAAUAACAAUGAUGAGCAUACUUACAUUUCAUAUAUUGUAAAGUCAAACAAUGGAUCCACAGAGAAUUAAGGCAUACAAUCAAAUCAAGAUGUGCGUGUGUAUGGAAUAUGGUGGAUAGGUGCAUAUAUAGUAUUUAGUGGCUAAUCCUAUUUCUACUUUUGCUCUUUGAAAAUUAGUUUCUGUUUAAAACUUACAACUUUUCACGAGAAACCAUGGGCUAUCUUUAUUAUUAUUUUUUAUUACUGUGAGAGGCGGGCAUCGAUGUACUCAUUGUUUUAAUUGUUCGGGCACUUGUCCAUCUUUUACCCCAUUUUUUUCUCUUUCCUUUUUUAAAUACUUUUGCGUAGCCACAUGCAUCCUUUGAAUUAAAUAAUCUGAGAGAUAAUGAUAAGAACUUAGAGCAAUUAAAUGGGGGCUGUCCUAGAGGGUAUAUUUUUGGGUGUUUACUCCUAGUGUAGGAGAAACAACAUUUUUAAUGUGGAUCUCGAUGAAAAUGGAAAAUAAUUUUGCUUACUCCUAGAGUAGGAGCAAUGCAUAUAUAGGUGGAGUGCAUGAGUGAUCUUGAUUUUAAAAGCAUGACAAUACUCUCAUAAGGUAUACAACAAAGGUUGAUUAAACUCAAUGUAAGGCAAGCAGCAUGAAUGUGCAAAUGUUUUCCUAACUUAAUGUAAGGCAAGCAACAUGAAUGUAGGAUUUUGGGUUUUUGAAAAUAAAUCUCCAGAACUUAGUAAUGCUAGGAGUAAGAUAAAUAGUAGCUUAGACCUUCAUGUAUUAAUCAGUUACCUAGACUUACCUCAAACAUAUGCCUCCACAAAUUUUAGGUUCAAAUUAAAUUCUUAUAUCAACGUAGUAAUGUCUAAAACUCAGAAGAAUUCAUUGUUGAAAACUAGGCACUUGAAAGGAAUUACGGUAGACCAACUAUUCAUCAUCUUCAAGACAAAAUUUCAAAAUUCUCUAAUUUUUAUUUGACUCUAAACUAGACUAACUGUAGACACACUCUAUGGUCACACCUUAAUAUAUAGGUACGUAUUUUGUUUGGUUUUUUAUUUAUUUCUAUUGGACUCAGAAGACUCUAAAGACAUGGACCUUCAUGUGCCCAUAUAUUUUUGCUAUAUUUAUAUUUUCUUAUGAUGCUAUUGUGAACCUUUAUGUGCUCACUCAUAUUUGGUAUUUUAUGACUAUAUAAAAUAGACUUAAUAAUCUCCUAGGUAUAGUUACCUAAUAACUAGGGGAUGUUGUGUCACACCCAAAUUUCAUGAACGAAAUAGAGUGCAUAAAAGUCUCAUGUGCUCCUCGAAAACAGUCGCACACAUAAGUUGUCAAAUCUCAUAUAGUACCAUCACAAUAUUUGUUACAUAUUGGAAUAAUAAUUAUUACAUAGUCUUAAACAAGUAGAGAUAAUCUCGACGGAAGCACCACAUAGGGACACUGUCAACUGGUUGACUCCAAGCCUAGUACUCAUAACGGUAGUCCUCAUUCCAGUCAUCUUCAUCAGAAUAUCCUAAGGUGUUAUCAAAUAGCAAGAGUGAGCACAUGUCGUACUCAACAAGUAUAACCAGCGGUUCAUGAGGCUCAAUUAGCUGACACUGGUUUGACUGCAUGUAGCUUUUACAUGUAGAUAGCAUGUUUAUAUUUAGAUAGCAAAUGUCAAGGUAGCAUAAUUAAAUUCCAUAACAACAUGAUCAAUGUAUACAAGAAUAAAGAAUGACACAUAUAAACAACAUAAUAAACCAUCAUUUAUCAUCAUCAAUCAUGUUCAUCAGUGUCCAUCUAUUCCAUCAGUUUUCCGGGCUGCCCGUAUCCGUUGGUACCGCUAGUAUACUAGAUUUAACACUCUGCAGAGGUUGUACAUCUUUACCCAUGAGUCAUGAUUUACCCUUUCGCUCGAGGUCGCGCGUCUCUUAACCCCCUUCCUAGGGAGGUCGACAGGGAUCACUAUGAAGUCUUUCAAAAGUUCAUCUAACAAGUUAGGGCCGCAAGGUUUCCCCGGCGCGCAUAUAUAGAGGGCCCCUUCCGAAUGGCACAAUGACGCGCAACCUAUACACAUAAGGACGGAGGCCACACUAUACCCAAAACAGCAAGCCCCUCUAGCGCCCUUUCUACAUAACAUCUUCAUACUGAGCUAAAGCCAGAGCCAUGUGUUAAGACUAUGUAAUAAUUAUUAUUAAAGCUAGAGUCAAGAUCAAUCUAGCAAAAGCUAGAGUUCUUUCCACCCUUUAUGUUCAUGUUGCUAGAAAGCUUAUUAUAUUGUUUAUUGUAUAUCCAAAUAUUCAUGUUACAAGAUCACGGAUUAAUAAUCAAGCACUAGCAAGAACUACCCAAAUGCAUAUCCAACUAGACAGACAUACACAAAGCAAACACGCUAUAAUUAGAACAUUACACCAAUAGUGGUAAAACAAAUAUAAAGUUUAUAAAAAUAUUCUACGCAGCGCUACGAUCACACAAACAUAAAGAUUACAAAAAAUCAGAAUUAAAACGGAGAAGUUAUGAUUUUUUCUAAGAUUUCCUAUAGAAGAAUAAUUAAUUAAAUACUACUAAGAAAUAAAAAAGUUAGAAACUAAAAACAUAGUAAUGUUAACAUGUGGAUCUCGUGAAAAUGAACCUCACGCAAUUUGAAUGGGUCAAAUCGGAGUUAAAGUGAGUUUUAUGAGCAAAACAAUUUUAGUGGCAUUUCUGUAAAUACUCGAAAGCAUAAUUUGAUUAAACCGACAAAAAUACGUUUUUAAAACGGCAACACGCCUUUUCCAAAGACGCUAAGAACCAUGUGUUCUAUUCUUAAGAAGUUCGAGGACUCUUUAACAAAAUACCCCCCGAAUGGGUAUCUUCUGUUCUAGGCCAUCGAUCUCCAAUUGGACGGCUUAGGAUUCAUCUAGGGGCUGAGCACCGGCCGGCCGGCCACCGGAGCCCAGGUUCGGCGCUGCGCCACCAUGGAUGCUCCCCCCGAAGCUCACUGGAGUUAGUGGAAAACACGCUAUGGUAAGCCAAAAUCCAAACCAAAGGCAUGGGGAGCAAGAGGAGGUCCUCACAAACCCACCUAGGGCACUCAAUCGAGCCAGAUGUCACCGGGGAAGGAUCGCGGUGCGAGAUGGCGGACGAUUGCGAACCUACGAGGCUCGGUGACAAUUAGAGGAAGAUAGGGGCAUGUAGAGGGUAAAGAGUAUGGACCGGCACCUUUGUGGUGGCGAUGCGAAGCUCAGCACAUAGUCGUUGGCGAGCUUGGUGUAGUAGGGGGCAAGGGUCACGUUGCCUGGUGACUCUAGCACCUCGGUGAGAUUCAACAUGGAGUUGGGAUGACUUGGUGCUGAAUAGAUGGGAUAGGAAGUGCCUGGGGUUUGUUGUGGAGCUUGAAUCGGUUGGGGAGAUCCUCCCAGGGAAGAAAUCCCACAAAAAUCGGGAUUGCUGUGACUCGAGGCGAAGGGACGAGAAAGGAGUCAGGCACUGCCAGGUGGGUCCCAGUUGUCGGUGAGAGAAGAGAGGGAGAAGGGCGGGUGUGUGCUCCUGGGCCAGCUGUUGGGCGAGGGAGCCGACCUGCGAGGGAGCCGAGGGAAGUGGGGGCUGGGCCGUGCGAGGGGGAGGAAGAGCCAUGUCUCGGCCUGAUUCUAGGGUGGCUUCUCUUUUUUUCCUAAUUUAUUUUCUAUUUUCUAAAAGCCUUUUUAAGAAGAGUUUUUAAAACAUUUUGGAGACAAAACAAACACACAUAAAAGAAUAAAUAAAUAUUCCAGCAUGUAUGCACAAGCAUGUUUCUAUCCCUUAUGUUGGAUUUUAAUUUCAAAAAAAAUUAUUUAUUCACUAAUUUUAAAUUCUCACAAAAUAUCCCAAUAAAUCAAAUUAGAUCCUAUUAAUUGAAAAUCAAAUUUGGGUGUUACAUGCUCCUCCCCAAGCUAGAUGUUUGUAAUAGUUGAUGUUGAUGAUCUUCAGAGUGAGGUAACUGGCAGCGCUCUUUGUGGGUGACACUAGUAGACUCUCUCCUUGUCAUAAUGUUGUUCCUGCAUAAUUACACUUCAAAAAGAAAACCAAAACUCGAGGCUCGAAUUUAAUAAUGGGUUAGCGGUCAGCUAGUAAGUGAUUGAUUGUUCUUUGAGUUGAUUUGAAUUGACAGAUUCUAGCAGGGUUCUCUUUUUAUUGUUUUAGCAUUUUCUAGUUUAAUUAAAUAUGUGUGCAUGAUAUAUAGUUGUAUUACUAUGCCUCCAUAGAGAAUAUUUAUUCUUAUGGGCCUUAGGAUUUUCAUUAAUAUUAUUCUUUAUGUCACCACAGUAAAUAUUCAUACAGGGUUACCAUAAGUUUAUUCCUCUGGAGCUUUUAAUAUUUUAUGAUGUAGUAAAUGAAACAAUAAAUAAAUUUUUUCUUUUAUAUUUAUGCAGAUGAAAAUAUUAAGGUAAAUUUAUUAAUGUAUAUAGGAAUACUAAGUAAUUAGAUAACUACCAUAUUACCUUAAGGCAAUGAUGUAAAAUUUUAAGUUUACCGACAGGUCUUCUUCUUCCACUCUUGUGUAUCUCUCAAUCUUGAAAGAUGGAGGUCUUGUUAGUUACAUACCUCUAGUGAUAAUGAUGUCACCUUUGUUCUUUGAUUUGGCCAGUAGGUUGAAGGAGAGUUUCAACAGUAGCUGCAGCAUCUUGCUCAGUGUGCAUGCUCACACAACUUUCACUCGUAGAAUUAAUAAACUUUGCUUGAUGUGUUGUCCUGUUUGCAAAACUAAGGUAGAGAUAAAGUGCAUGGGCUCUGCUGGUGGAAAAACACCAACAUAACCAAAUCUAUUUCUUUAUUUAUUUUUCUCCAUCCUUAGGCACAUUAAACAAGAUAAAGUUGUGUUACAUGAUUUAUUUAUUUAUGAGUGGUAAGAUCAAAAGAUUAAGUAUUUUUAAGUUCACAUGACAAAAGAAAUUUCUUAACUAAUGGGAGGAUUGUCUAUCUCUAUAAAUUUUCAAAUAAGUAUGACUAUCAUCUUCCCAAGAUUGAAUAUAAUGUUUUAACCUAUUUAGCUAAGACUGCGAUUAAGAGAAUGGUGCCAUAAACAAUUUUAAAAGAUGAAUCAUGUUAAGUUAACAAGGUUGAUCAAUUUAAGUUGUAACUCUAACAUGUUUGUGUUUUAAUUUAUGCACACAGAAAGAUCAAGAGGAGAGAGUGAACACUUACCUUAGAGUAUUACCUUCAUUGUUAGAGCGUGAUGGUGUUGACGGUUCUUAAGUAUCAAUUUUAAUUAUCAAAUAAACAAGAGAAAGGACCAAUAUGCAAACCACACCAAGAAUUAGGGUUUGAUGUGACAGAAUUCCACGAGUUUUGUUGUUUAUCUGUUUUUGCAGGGGGUUAUCAGGAAAUAAGGAAGAAAGGCGCACAUGUCGGGAUUACAUAGAGAUAUCAACGCACCGUGCAAUUUUCUACUAUCUAGAAGACUCCAGAAGCCACGGAAACAAAGCGGAGGCCGAAAGGGGCCUGGCCCAGGGCGCCCGCCCUAAGGACCAGGGCGCUCGCCCCCCUCUGUACUCCAAUCGGGACUCUUUUCGCGGACCAAGCUCCAUCGACCUAAAGGAUCAAGGAUAACCGUCCAAUCAAUGUUGGUUUGAUCCAACGGCUCACCUUCACUUGAGGGGACUAUAAAACCAGACCUCCUGGCCCCUAGAGGAGACAAGUUCAUCAUAGAGUUGAGAGGAGCCCUCGAAGGAAUACCUCUCCUCUAAAUAAAAUUUCUUUUAGGCUUAGCAUGCAAUGUGAGUAGAAUUAUAUCUUCUAGUUCCUACUAGAUUGAGAGAGGUAGAGUGGAGGUGUAGAUCGGAGGAAGCCCGGCCUAUCGGUGUCUACUCCGAGGUUGUACCUGCGGGAUGAACUUCUCCUAACCCGAAGCUUGCUCCAAGGAUUCUUCAGUAUUUCGACUUCUAAAUUCUAGUAAGUUCUUGUUUUAUUGUUCUUUGGUUUAUGAGUUUACUUUAAUCUCUUCGCGUAGAGUUUAGAGUAAUCAUCUCUAGCAUAGACGUGGUGUUUAGGCUAGGAUACUCAUAGAUAUUCCCUGACUAGCUAGAUCGUGGUAGUAGCGAGGAACGUGACAUUUCCGAGUUACCUUUGCAGACCAUAUCUCGUUAGCAGGAAGGAUAUGGUUUAUAGGUGCAGGUUGAACAUCCUCUGUGAUGUCUAGAUUCCGUAAGCUUCCCCAAUAGAACAAUAGAUCAUCCUUACCAAGGUUAGAAAGAGAUUACGGUUGUAGUCUUCUCUAUUUAUCACUCACAUCGAGAAACAUUCUUUGUAGCCUAAAGUUUAGUAGUAAUAGACCAGGUUAGUCAAAUGCACUCUUUCUCCUAGUGGUAAAUAAUAAAUACGAUACUCUGGAUAACCUCCCGGGUGAAGUGCUCACCGAUAUCUGUGCGCUUGCGGAUCAAUUCCUUAUUGCGUUCCCAAAUAUCAACAAGCAUUUUUGGCGCCGUUGCCGGGGAGAAAGACGGUUUGCUGAGAUAACCUUGAGUCUUACUACUAGCUUGUAUCUAUACUUUUACCUUUUCUUAUCAUUUAUAUUCUUUAUUUAUUUUAUUUACUCUUACCUUAUGGAAAACCAAGAUUCUAAAUCAAUCCAUAAAUCUGCAAUCCCUUCAGUAACUGACCUUGUACCAUGGGAGUCAUCACAGCCUAUCCAAACAUUCCAGUAUAGGUUAAGUUCUAGGUUGAUUGCUAUGAUUCAAAACCUAUCUUUUUCGGGAAAGGAAGACAAAAACCCUUACCUUCAUAUUAGAGAUUUUGAGCAAACAUGUGACUGUCUUCACAUUGAAGGCAUUUCUGAUAAAACUUUACGUUGGAAGCUUUUUUCUUUUUCCUUAAGGGGAGAAGCUAGACAAUGGUACAGUCAGAAGGUAAGUCAACAACGAGGUGAAUGGGGAGUUUUACGAGCCAACUUUUCUCUAGAUUUUUAUUCCCUCGACUGUAUCGGUGACCUUAGACUCGAAGUCCUAUCUUUUAUACAAAAAGAUAAUGAAACUUCGGGAAAAUCCUGGAGAUGUUUUUCUGAUCUUUUAGAAUCUGGUCCAAACCUUAAUCUUGAAGACCCUGUUCUUUUAUUUCACUUUUUUUGAGGUCUUCAGAAAGAUCAUAAACAAAUGCUACAUAGAAUGUCUAGAGGUUCUUUCUUUCGCAUCCCUACUGAUGAAGCUAGAGUGAUCCUAGAUAGAUUCCUAGAAGCCGAGAUAGAUAAUACCCUUCAGAUGAAACCCACGAAGCCGAAGUAGACACUCUGCCAAAUUCUUCAUCUACUUUAGCUAUCCCAAGUUCUGAGCAACAAAAGGAAGAAAUUCCUCCACCGGACUUCAUGCUGGAUAUAGAAUCUGAUCUUUUGCCGAUUUUGGAAACAUUUCAAACUACCAUUCUACUAACAGACCCCAAAACGGCCAUUUUAGCAUUUGUUUACCAAGUGAACAUCAAUUGAGAGAGCUUAUCUCAGUCAUGAGUAGCAAGUGGUUGGAGGAAUCUGAGCUUUCCUCUGAUGUGAUCCGUUUGGACACACCCUCUAUAACUAUACGCUGUGCUUAUAAUUCUGAUCGAUUUGUUGCUCUCUAUAAUCCUGUUGUGGGGAUCAACCAUAUGUCUGAAUCUUUUGCACUUAAACUAUUUAAAAUUUUGGUUUUAAGCCCCACAACAAAAGUCAUAAAGGAAUCUUCGGGACGAUUAGUCCCCAGUCUUGGAAUUAUUAAUGUCCUACCUCUUACGGUAGAAGGCUCCAUGGUUCAUUUGAACUUCUAUAUCUUUGAUACAUGGGACUUCGACCUGUUGAUAGGACAACCUUUUAGAAGACUCCUUUAAGAAGGUCAUACUGGAAAGCUACACAUUUCUUUUGGAAAAACUUCUAAAUUUCCAAUAACAAUUUCACACUCCUUAAAUUAUAAGGCCGAGUCAUAUCUUUUACCUGAUCCUAUGGAGGAGGUAAAGGCUGCAUCUCUAGAGCUUUUAGAUGAACCAGACUUAGAAGAAGAAGCUCCUUUCUUCAUAGAAGAAGAAGCUGAAUCUUCUGAACCUGAACCCUUAGACGAGUUUGUAGAAACGCCUAGACCUCCCAUAGAGCUUAAAAUUUGAUCACCCGGUCUUAUCUAUGCUUUCCUAAACAAUAAUCCAGAGUUUCCUGUGAUCAUUAGUGAUAAACUCACUCAAGAGCAAACUCUGCGAUUGAUGACCAUUCUUGAGAAACAUCACUCAGUUUUUGGCUACUCACUCCAAGAUCUUACAGGGAUCAGUCCUAUGAUUUAUACCCAUCGUAUUCCAACAGAUCCUUCUGUUUCACCUUCUCGAGAGCCUCAACGUAGACUUAACAAUACGAUGAGAGAGGUAGUUAAAAAGGAAGUUAUAAAGUUGCUGCAUGCAGGGAUUAUACAUCCUGUGCCGCACAGUGAGUGGGUAAGCCCAGUACAAGUUGUGCCUAAAAAGGGAGGCAUGACUGUCAUUAUGAAUGAAAAGAACGAGCUAAUUCUGCAAUGCACCGUCACAGGAUGGCGGAUGUGCAUAGACUAUAGAAAACUGAACAAAGCCAUGAGAAAGGAUCAUUUUCCUUUUCCUUUCAUAGAUGAGAUGCUGGAGCGAUUAGCGAACCAUUCGUUCUUCUGUUUCUUAGAUGGAUAUUCAGGGUAUCACCAGAUCCCGAUCCAUCCCGAUGAUCAAAGCAAAACCACUUUUACAUACCCAUAUGGAACUUAUCCUUACCGUAGAAUGUUUUUUGGGUUAUGUAAUGCACCAGCCUCUUUUCAAAGAUGCAUGAUGUCUAUAUUUUCUGAUAUGAUUGAAGAGAUUAUGGAAGUUUUCAUGGAUGAUUUCUCUGUUUAUGUAAAAACUUUUGAUAGUUGUCUUGCUAACUUAGACAAGGCUUUGCAAAGAUGUGAAGAAAAGCACUUAGUCCUUAAUUGGGAAAAAUGUCAUUUUAUGGUUAGGGAAGGAAUAGUGCUGGGACACCUAGUGUCUGAAAGAGGUAUUGAGGUGGACAAAGCUAAAAUUGAAGUAAUUGAACAACUACCUCCACCUGUGAAUAUAAAAGGAAUUCGAAGCUUUCUUGGCCAUGCUGGUUUUUAUCGUAGAUUUAUAAAAGAUUUUUCAUACAUUGCUAGACCACUUACUCUUUUGCUAGCCAAGGAUGCUCCUUUCGAAUUUGAUGAUGCAUGUCUAACAUCUUUCAAUUUAUUAAAGAAAGCACUCAUCUCUGCACCAAUCAUUCAACCCCCUGAUUGGUCGUUGCCUUUUGAAAUUAUAAGUGAUGCUAGUGAUUAUGCUGUGGGGGCAGUUUUGGGACAAACUAAAAAUAAAAAGCAUCAUGCAAUUGCUUAUGCCAGUAAAAUUUUGACAGGAGUUCAACUUAAUUAUGCAACCACUGAAAAAGAGCUUCUGGCUAUUGUCUUUGCCAUUGAUCAAUUUUGAUCUUAUUUAGUAGGAGCUAAAAUAAUUGUUUACACUGACCAUGCUGCACUAAAAUAUUUGCUCCCUAAAAAAGAUGCUAAACCUCGCCUGAUUUGAUGGAUCUUAUUACUUCAAGAAUUUGACUUAGAAAUAAAAGAUAAAAGGGAGUAGAAAAUUCUGUUGCUGAUCACUUGUCUAGAAUGUAUUUUAAGAGUCCACAGGAAACCCCCAUCAAUGAUUCACUCUGGGACGACAUGCUCUACGGGAUUAACAGGUCUGACCCCUGGUAUGCAGAUAUUGUUAAUUUUAUGGUUUUAGGGUAUGUACCACCAGGAGCAAACAAGAAGAAGCUUAUUCAAGAAAGUCGUUCACAUAUAUGGGAUAAGCCAUACCUCUUCCGAGUAUGCUCUGAUGGCUUACUCAGGAGAUGUGUGACCACUGAAGAAGGAUGGAAGAUCAUCGACAGAUGUCAUUCAUCACCAUAUGGAGGUCAUUAUGGAGCAUUUCGUACACAUUCAAAGAUCUGGCAGUGUGGAUUCUACUGGCCUACAAUGUAUGAAGACACAAAGCAAUAUAUCAGAAGAUGUGGGCCAUGUCAAAGGCACAGAAACAUAAACACAAGAGAUGCCAUGCCACUCACCAACAACCUUCAGAUUGAGCUCUUUGAUGUUUGGGGAAUAGACUACAUGGGUCCAUUUCCUCCAUCAAAAAAGUGUGAGUACAUCUUGGCGGCAGUUGACUAUGUCUCCAAGUGGGUAGAGGCACUACCUUGCAAGCAUGCCGACACCAUCAGUUCAAAGAGGAUGUCUGAAGAAAUUAUAUUUCCAAGAUUUGGAGUCCCCAGAGUAGUGAUAAGUGAUGGAGGAGCACAAAUCAUCGACAAACGCUUCAAACAAUAUCUAUCAAAACAUGGAAUCUGUCACAACGUCGCUACCCCCUAUCAUCCUCAGACAAGUGGCCAAGCAGAGACUUCCAAUAAGCAAAUCAAGAAUAUUCUUCAGAAGACAGUGAAUGAAAUGGGAACGACAUGGAAAGACAAGUUACCUGAUGCAAUCUGGGCAUGCCGGACAGCAUACAAGACCCCAAUUGGAAUGUAUCCAUACCAAUUGGUGUACGGGAAGACUUGCCAUCUACCUGUUGAACUAGAGUUCAAAGCACACUGGGCCAUAAGGAGAUGGAAUAUGGACCUAGAUGUCGCUGGAGAUCAUAGAAGAAUGCAACUAUCAGAAUUGGAAAAAUGGCGAGAGAAAGCAUAUCACAAUUCAAAGAUCUACUAAGAAAGAGUCAAAAGGUGGCAUGACAAGAGGAUCAAGAAGAAGGAGUUCGCACCCGGAGAUAAGUAUUACUUUUUAAUUCUAGGGUGAAGCUUUUCGGGCAUGGAAAACUCCAGAGUAAAUGGGAAGGACCAUUCAAGGUAAUCAAUUCAUCAUCCCACGGAGCUAUCACACUUCAAAAUGGCGAAGGUACGUUAUUCAAGGUAAAUGGUCAACGUCUUAAAUUAUUUUUAGAGCCCAAUAAAGACUUAGAAGAAAUAGACGUAAUCUAUUUUUUCCUUCCCAUGGAGAAUUAAAGCCCAACACUUUUAAUCUGACAUUUUUGGGUCAUACAUAUAUUUUCCUAAAAAGGUUUGCAUCUAGAAACACGCUCGAGGAAGCGGGCCCACAGAGGGGCCAGACACAGGGCGGGCGCCCAACUCCUGACCCCUCUCGGUCCCGAUUUCCUCCGUUAUGGAAAAUACACUUAUGGUAAUCCGAAUAAUCCCUCAGAUGGAACGUUUCACACGCACAUCGAUGGGAGUAACCCGAACAACCCCUAGAGGCACUUUUUGACCCCUAUAUAAACAGACCCCUAACGUCAGUUUUCAAACACCAAUCCACCCAAGCCUUCUUCUUCAAUUAGAGCUUGAUUAGUCCCUCGCUGCUCCAAUGGCCGAAAAGUUCCACGAUGAUUGGGAAGUCGUCCCCUUCAACCUCAACAUGAAGCCAGAGGAAGACCCCGACGCCAACGCCAUAGAGCGACAGCUAGAAGCCAUGGCAUUACGCCAACGCAGCUCCGCCCAAUCCUAUCAUGCUCAACCAGUUCUCACCGCACCUGUAACACCCAAGGUGUUAAGCAUGCACUUAGUCUUAUCAAAACAUUCAUAAGCAUUCUCAUCAAGCAUAGCAUCACAUGAGCAUGCCAUCCAUCCAAAAUGUGAUUUUAUGUGCUUUAUUCUAUGUGAUUUAAAUAUGCUAAAAAUAAGAUGCUUGCUUCAAAAAUUGUGAAAUAUUCAAGAUAGGUUGAUUUAUGUGCAAAAAGAUUUAAGAGUAUUUUUUGUGCAAUUUUUGGAGCCAUAUAAUUUGAGAAAUGGAAUUUAUACAAAAAUCCCCAAAAUGAAUUUAUUUGAAAACCUAGAACUAGUUUUAAUUUGUAAUUCAAAUUCUAUUUGGAAUUUGAUCUUGCUUAUUAAAACAAAGUUGUAGGAUUUUUGUUUUGGAACAACUUUGCUUCUGGGAGAAAGAGGUGAAAAUGAUUUUAAAAUGGUCCAAAUGAAUUUAGAAGAAGUUUGAGAAAAGAAAUUCAAAAAAAAAUAGAAAAGGGAAAAGGGGGGCGCUAGGAGGCCGCGGCCUCACUUCUGGCCCACUGGCCGAAGCCGGCCCAGCCCGCCCGCGCUCAACCCCUUCCCCGCGCCAGCGCCGCGUCCGCGCGCGGACGGCCGCGCCGUUCCGCCGUGGCGCGCCGACAGAGCCUGGCCGCCGCGUGGCGAGCAUGCGGCAGCUUGGACACGCCCUGGUCGGCCACCAGGAGCCCCCGACCACGUCCGCCGCUGCCCCCGCUGCCAUUUGCGCUCCUCCACUCGCGCUCUCGCCCUCCGCUCGCUCGCGCGCAGCAGCCGCCGCUCCGCCGCACGCCAUCGUCGCCGACGGCUUGGAGCUCCUCUCCCGGCCAGCAACGGCCUUCUUCUUCCUCUCUGCGACCACCAUCAGCUUCGUCUCGUCCUUCCGCGUCGCGUGCUCACGCUCAACCACGCUCGGUGAGCCCCGCGUGCCUGAUAGAGCUCACCGGAGUGAGUCGGAGCUCCGGCGACCUCGCGCGGUUCUCCCUCUCCUCUCCGCCUUUGCUUGCAUUCGUAGGUGCGUUAGCUUCGCCUUGGCUUUGUGCACCUUUCCCCGUCGUUAGCCCACGCUCUACCGCCGCGAAACAGCCGGACCACGGCGAGCAGCGCCGCCGCGUCCGCCAUUCUCGACGGCGAGGUAGUUUCGGUGCUCGUCAGGUGCCAAAAAGGGCACGGUUGGACUCGUCCUGUGUUCGCGAAGCCGUAGGUGUUCCCGGUGAGAUUCCGGCCGAUCUUUGGCCGCGGAGUCGUGGGGUGGCUGACUAGUGGGGUCACCUGACUCACGGGUCCCGCCUGUCAGUGAUUCCAAGGGUUUGAAUCCGGGUGCACUUAGCGUUUUAAGUCGUUUUUCCGUUUUAAAAGUUUUUCCAGAAAAUGGUUUAAAUAUUCUAAAUUCCAUAUCUUUAGAUCCAUAGCUCCAAAAUUCGUGAAAUAAAUUUUGGUGUGUUCUUUGUUUCCAGAUCUAUAACAUGGUAUGGCUGCAUGUCAUGUUUAAGUAACUUUUCUGUGCAAUUAUAUUUAAUCCAUGUUUUUGCUAGAUUUGGAAAAUGCAUAGUAAUUAAAAUAUGACUCAGAAAAAUGUGAAACUUGUUUUGUUGGCUCUGCAUGUAUGUUUAGUCACUAGAAAAUAUUGCUACACAUUAUUUGGUGUAUAGAUGAAUUUGUAGUGAUUUAAAUGCUUGCAUGGCAGUGGUUUAUGAUUUUUAAUAAAAAUUUAGUCAUGCAAUUAAUCUGGUAAUUUUUGUGGGUGUUUCUUAUGAUAUUAGGCAAAUUAUAAAAAUAUGAAAUCUGCUGUUUGACACUUAUACCACAGUAGAGUAAUUGUACUUGCCUUUAUUAAUUAAUCUUGUGAUUUUUGUAGCUCAAAAUAAGUAUCCACAAAAUAUGAAAAAUUUAUAGUGGACUUUAUGCUUGACUGAUAGUCUCCUGUAAUUUUUGUAGAAUUUAUUGAUGAACAGAACUGCAUGCAAAUUUUGAUGGGCCUAGAAAUGAAUAAAGAAAUUAUGAAUUGUUAUAUGUAGAAUAAGUAGAAUAAAAGAGGAUUUGGUGUAUAUUUGAAGUAUCUUGUGAGUUGCUGGUUACACUUGAAAAUAAGUUUGUGGGGAAAGAAGGAAAUAGAUGCUUAGUGUAAUUGCAUGUUCUUGGAUGACGUUGACUACCUUGUAAAGAGCAUGACCAAUUAAAUCACCUAUGCAUCAUGUCAUGAUCAUUUGGUACCUUCUCAUACAAGCAUCCACUCGGGCAUCUCGCACUCCACUCAUGAGCACACAUGCAUCAUACACGCUCGCAGGAGAACGAGGUGGGGCCCGAGGAGCAGGAGGAGACCCAGGAGCAGAAACCUCUAGGAGCACCGGAACCCGGAGAAGAGCUACAGGAGUGUCCAGAUCACCGGCCCAGCACGUUUGAGAAAGGCAAGCCCCGGAGCAUUCUAAGUCUCCCUAUUCUCGCUAACUUACAUGAUAUACUAUGCUUGUUCUACUAUGUUGCAUUUACGUGAUAGGAAUUGGUUGAUACCGUUGAUGCAUAGGUACUCCUUGAUAUCACCAUCUGUUUAUCUACCUUGUCCUAUGUAGAUAGGCACGGAGUCUAUGCUUAGCUUGCCUAGCUCGGUAGAAGUCGGGUGAUUUCCUGUCACUUGCGAGAUAUAGGUGGAUACCAGCUUGAUUAAGCGGUGAUUGCUUUGGGAAAAAAAUAACCAAGCGUGGAAUAGAAAUUUGAGACCGGGCAGGGUCUUAUGGUGGGGUUGACUAUAGUGCCCCUGCCUGUGUUGAUUAAGGACCGAUCGUUAACGGCCCUCUUGUCAUGUUGAACGCAUGCCCCACACUUAGCUGGAAGGAUAAGUCGUUCCGACCGCGAAGCCUAAACACUAUCCGGGCCGGGAGUCGAGCUGCCAUGCGCUGUAUUGGUGAUGGUUGAGGAGAACGACGAGGGCGCGGCGUGCAACCUUGGUAUACCUUGGAUACCUCGGUCGCCGGAACGGUCCUCGGGUACUGGUGGUGCCUGUCGAACCCGCAAUUUAGUCAUGGUUAGUGUAACACGGUGAUCUGUAGCUCACUUGAUCAGUGAGUGUGGUUUGUGUGGGGAAUACCUCGCCAGCUGGUCAGAAAUCGAUUCGAAUCGCCAUCGCUCCUGGAUAGUGAGCACUUGACAUGAGCUUCAUCCUCGUAGUAAGGACUAUGGAACAAUUGGGUUAUAAUGAUAAAUGGUUUCAUGAAUGACAUGAUGAGGUACCAUCAUAUUAGUAUACUUGCUUGUAAUAGUACAGAUGCAUACCUAGAUAAUAGGUAAUGACAAUACUAAACUUGAGCCAAAUCAAAGAAAAGUGGUUUCUAGACUAUGUUAGGGAAAUACGCGCGUUUAUGCAAAGGUCGUCAGCUAACCCCACUAUAUGGCCUUCAUGAUCCUUGAUGAGUCUUUAUUUGAGUUUAUGACAGGUAAGUCUAGCUGAGUACGUUCUCGUACUCAGGGUUCUAUUCCCAUGUUGUUUUGCAGAUGGUCAAAUGUACUAUGGUUAUUGCAUCCUCUGUCUGUACCCAGCCAUGGGUGAUGACUAGACCAAGGGCGAUGGUCACUCCGUCUUCUCUUUUGCUUUUGUGGGAAUGACCGAAUUAUGGCACUGUAUCAGACUAAGCAUGUGUGUGUUAUUUUCAAAUUAUGAAGCUUCCGCUACUUAUGAACUUGGUUUGUAAUAACUUUAAGCACUUCGAUGUAUUGUAUGAAUGUUUUCGAACUGGAUGUAACUGUGGAUGAUGACCGCUAAACUUAUUACGAUCUUGGCUGUAUGUAUGAUCUGUGGUUUGAAAUCCUUCAAGAUUUCAUGGACUACCGGGAUUAUAUGGGCUUAAGCUCGAUGGUUUGACUAUGCCAAUGGUCACUAUUAGGCUUAAUCUCUUAUAAUUUGGGCGGUUCUGUUACAGCUGGCAUCGGAGCAAGGUUUAGCGAGUUACUGUUCAUAAGUAUGUUCUAAACCAAAUCUAAACCGGUUUUAUAAAAGAUUUUAUUAAUUAAUGAUAAUCAAGGUGUCCAGAUAAGUUUUUGGGAAAAACUAUCUAGUGUGCCAUGGUCAUAUCCUUUAUGCCCAGUUAAGGACUCUAAGGUGGCUAGUUAAGAACUGACUUGGGGGUUAAUGCAUCAUAUUUCUAUUUCAUUGCUCAUACGGCGUGCAAUAGUAUGAGUACCAUUCAUUUGAGUGGUAAUGUAUGGAUCAAUUUGUCUGCUACGCCUCGGUAAGGGGGAGCUGUGAGAGCAUGAUCGGAUACACUGCCGGUCUAGGGGAGUGUUGUUAGGUGCUGUGUCAUGCACACAUGCUUGGUGUGUUUGGGAACAGUACCGCAUGUUGGGAUAUUCCGUCCGGUGAGGCGAUGCCGUUGUUAGGGCGAUGAUGUGGGUAGUAGCACGUCAUAUGCAUGGAUGGGGUGUCAGUGUAUAUGGGGUGUAUAGCUUUAAAUUCUUGUUCUGCAUCUUCAUACUGUGGUUGGGCUGAAAUGAAUUUUAUGCAGGUACACUAACCACGUUCUCGCUUAGAACGCUAGGUACGUUAUGAGAGAACGCUGUGUGCCACCGCAUAUACCGUUUAGUGUUAACUUUUGUUUCUAAGUUUGUGAGAUCGUAAGUCCGUGCAUGCAUCAUAUUCAUUUCAUAUCAUUGCUUACUUUCCCCCUUAAUUUAAUCUGUCCCAAUUCUAAAUAAAAUAUUUAAAGGUAAUCCUUAAUCUUACCCAAGGUAUUCCAUUUGCAGCAGAUGGCACGCACUAGGCUCAUCGCUCGCAAGUCCACUGGUGGGCGGGCCCCUCACCAUCCGUUGGCAGCCAGGAGCUCGCGUCAUAAGAGCAAGUUCCUGGAGGAGUUUGGGAUGCCCACUUUGCUUUGGAGGGUGCUCAGUUCGAUGGGGUAUCUCGAAGGAAGGGAGCCUCGCUACUAUUGGGACAAGGAGCAGCUUGGUGACGGGACCCUGGUGGGGAUCGAGGCAGUUGUCCCUACCAAUGGAGGUGACCCCGCCUGGGGCGGUUGGGUGUACGAGUCCCGAGGUACCACGCCUUUCCACGGUGCCAGCAGGGCAGCUUUCGCCGUUCUGAGGGACCUUAUGGAGAGGUUUCCACAGGAGCUGGCCCACGCCUUCGCUGGGGUGUUUCCCCGGGGUGACCCUACACUUCGGUGUGGGAUCAGUCCGAGGUGAACGCUCUAGAGAGGAGUGAGGAUGAGGACCAGCACAGUGACAGCGUAGCUAUGAGUGCUAUGUACGCCUUGAUGAAGACCUAUGGAGGCCUGGAGCGUUGUUUGGGUCGCUUGUCCGGGUCUCUUCUCACCGUCCAGGAUGAGAAGCGCCAGUUGUAGCGUGAGUUCGACUCUGAGGUUGAGAGGCUGUAGGCGGAGUUGGCCCGCGUGACCCGAGAGAGAGACCAGGCGGUCCAGAAGAACAGUGAGCUGAGCCAGGACCUGCUUGCAGUGCGAGAGCAAAAAGAUAGGGUGACUACUGCUCACAGGAACUGCGAGCGCAUGCUAGUCCAUGUGCUUGGUCAGAGGAAUGAAGCCUGGCAUGAGGAGGACACUUUGAGGGCCCGAUAGCUAGAGCUAGAGCAGCAACUAGCUAAUGCUGAGGAGUACAAUGAGAACUUCCAUGAGGAGAUCCACCAGCUGUAUAACCAGCUCCACUCUCACCACCUGCCUGGAGCAGCUGAGCUAGACUCUGAGGACGAGAUGGACGAGGAUCCCGAGAUAGGAGCAGCUGCUAGUGGAGAUGAGGACGAGGAGGGCUCCGGCAUGGAUAGUGACCAUAGCGAGUAGAUGCUAGGGCUCUAGAGCUAGUCCUUCUUCUUUUGUUGUUGUAUGUUGCAUGACAUGUCUUGUACUUUUGGAUCUGGGCCAUGUAAGACUUAUGAGAUGACGCUGAAAGUCCAGUGUAUGUAUGGUGGCAAAUUUGGAUGUAUGCGAACCUUGUUGCUUGAAUGUUAAGUAAUCUGUUAGUGAUGUUGUGUGUGGAUGAUGAAUUGUUGUGCCUCUGUUUAUUGUGCGAAUUUAAUUCCCUCAGUAAUUCAGUAUGGCAUAAUUCUACACAUGUCUACCGUUGAUGGCAACUCCUAACGAUUGCUUAUCAUUGACGCAUGCAGAUGGUGCUAACGCGUGGCGGAGGUAACAGCAACUCGGAUCUUGGAGCAGGUACCUCCGGAGAUGGGGCUCAACAGAACGAGGAAAGAGCACCAUCACCGCCACCACCACCGCCUCCUCCGUACACUGCGGACAUGUUUUUCGCGUAGUUUCUGGGGAGCCAACGCAACAUGGAACAAAUGCAGCGCAACAUGGAAGAAGCUCUGCGUAAUAUAGCUGACAACACCCAUCGUGGGGAUAACCAAGGUGGCCGUGAAGUCAACCAGUACAGCUCUUUCAAGGACUUCAUAGAUACCAAGCCACCAGUCUUCAAGGAGGCUUUGGAACCGCUCGAGGCAGAUGAGUGGAUCAACACCAUGGAGCAGAAGUUUCGUCUUCUUCGGAUGACGGAAGAACUAAAGGCUGAGUAUGCGGCACAUCAGUUGCAAGGACCUGCUAGGAUUUGGUGGUCCCAUCAUCGUACCACCUACCCAGAAGGGACCCCGAUCACCUGGAACCGCUUCACCACCGCGUUUCGGGGAAAUUAUAUUCCUCCGGGUGUGGUGGAAAUGAAGGUUGGGGAGUUCAUGAGGCUGUCCUAGGGGACGAAAUCUGUGAAAGAAUAUCUGCACGCUUUCAACAAUCUCGCCCGCUAUGCCCCCGAGUUUGUGAACACGGAGGCCAAAAAGAUUGCUAGUUUCCAGAGAGGCUUGAAUCCAAAGAUGCUGAAAACCAUGGGUACAGGGACCCGGGCUACCAUCAAUGCUUACAUCAGUGACUGUCUAACCCAGGAAAACAAUAACAACAACUAUAGUGCAUCCAAGUCUCGUAAGAGGGCUUUCGAAGCCGGGUCAUCCCAGUCCAGGGCACCAGUGGCAGGGCGACAGCAGUAUCGUCGUCCUGCCACAGGUGCUAGGUUCAGACCACCGCAGAAGAGGAACACCAGGCAUCCAGCGAAGCAGAAGCCUACAAGGUGGCGAUAGCUCCUGCCAAGCCAAAGGCAAUUCAAGCUGCGGCACCUGCUGCCAACAAUGCGACCAAGGGUCCGUGCUACAACUGCCACAAGAUGGGGCACUUUGCUAAGGAAUGUCCAUACCCCAAGAGGCAACAGCCAACCUAUCCAGCUUGUGUGCACCAUACUUCGAUCGAGGAAAUUUCGGAAGGAGAACCGGUAACAGCUGGUAUGUUUCCUGUCAACCAACAUCUUGCAGUUGUUUUGUUUGAUUCUGGAUCGUCGCAUUCAUUCAUGAGCCAAGCAUUUGCACAAAAGCAUAAUCAACCAGUUACAGAUCUGGGUUAUGGCUACCGCAUCAGCUCAGCAGGGGCAGAUGUGUUGACCAAUAGAGUGGUUCGAGGGGCAACCCUGGAUAUAAGUGGCCGAGUAUUUCGAGUGAAUUUAGUGGUCAUGCCUGGGUUAGUUUUGGAUGUUAUCAUGGACAUGAACUGGAUGAGAGAAUGGGAUGCUAUCAUAGAUACUGGGAAAGGAUGUUAUCUCUCAGAGAACCCCAGGGCAGUAGCUCUUUUCAAGUACCUCUGCCCCGUCGUAUUGACUUUGCUAGCAUCGCUUGUGCUACGCACGUGGUUCCAUUACCACAGAUCCCAGUAGUCUGUGAGUUCCUUGAUGUUUUUCCCGAGGAAUUACCAGGACUUCCCCCAGAUAGGGAGGUAGAGUUUGCAAUCGAGUUGAUAACAGGUACAACACAAAUAUCUAGAAGGCCGUACCGGAUGCCACCGAACGAACUCGCUGAGUUGAAAAAUUAGUUAAAGGAGUUACUGGAUAAAGGGUCUAUCCGGCCAAGUUCGUCAGAAUGGGGUUGUCCGGCGUUGUUUGUGAAAAAGAAGGAUCAGUCAUUGCGCAUGUGCGUGGACUAUCGUCCGCUCAAUGCAGUGACAAUCAAAAAUAAGUAUCCAUUGCCGAGGAUUGAUAUCUUGUUUGAUCAGUUGUCCAAGGCAAAAGUGUUUUCCAAGAUAGAUUUGAGGUCUGGGUAUCACCAAAUCAAGAUUCGUCCGCAAGAUAUCCCGAAGACUGCUUUUUCCACCAGAUAUGGGUUGUAUGAGUAUCUUGUCAUGUCCUUUGGGUUGACAAAUGCUCCUGCAUACUUCAUGUAUCUGAUGAAUUCAGUCUUUAAGCCAGAAUUGGAUAAGUUUGUUGUAGUGUUUAUCGAUGAUAUUCUGGUUUAUUUAGAAAAUGAGCAAGAUCACGCCGAGCAUCUGAGAAUUGUGCUAACACGACUACGAGAGCAUCCGUUAUAUGCCAAGUUCAGCAAGUGCGAUUUCUGGUUGAAGAAAGUUCCUUUCCUAGGGCAUAUUCUGUCUGAAGAGAGGAUUGCUGUGGAUCCAUCAAAAGUGCAGGAAGUCAUGGACUGGAAGACACCGACUUCUGUCUCAGAAGUUAGAAGUUUUCUUGGUCUGGCCAGGUAUUAUCAUCGUUUCGUACCCGACUUCUCCAAGAUUGCUAAGCCAAUGACUAGUUUGCUACAAAAGGAUCAUAAGUUUGUCUAGACGGAGGGGUGUGAGCUAGCCUUCCGCACCUUGUGAAAUUUGCUAACCACCGCUCCUGUUCUAGCGCAACCCAAUAUCGAGAAGCCUUUUGAUGUGUUUUGCGACGCAUCGAAAAGUGGCUUAGGAUGUGUGUUGAUGCAAGAUGGCAAAGUGAUAACUUACGCUUCAUGACAGUUGAGAAAGCACGAAGUCAACUACCCAACUCACGACCUCGAGUUAGCAGCAGUAGUGCACGCCUUGAAGAUUUGGACACACUAUUUGCUGGGAAAUAAGUGUCAUAUUUAUACCGAUCAUAAGAGUUUGAAGUAUAUCUUCACUCAGUCCGAGCUGAAUAUGAGGCAACGAUGGUGGUUAGAGUUAAUCAAGGACUAUGAUCUGGAGGUUCACUAUCAUCCAGGCAAAGCUAAUAUGGUAGCAGAUGCUUUGAGCCGCAAACCGCACUAUCAAGUGAUUCAACCUCUGUUUGAAGAUGGGUUCAAUCUCAUGCAUCCUGAAGUCUUAUGUCACAUACAGCUCAGUUGUUCACUCGAGAGUCAAGUCAUUGAGAGUCAGGAAACAGACAAGGGUAUUUUCCACAUCAAAGAAAAGAUUAAAGACGACCCAAGAACUCAAUUCAGAGUUGAUGAAAGAGGAGUAUUGUGGUUUCAGCACCGUCUAGUCGUUCCGGAGGACCGAGAAUUGAAGAAUCACAUCAUGGAUGAAGCCCAUCUCUCCAAGCUUUCUAUUCAUCCUGGCAGUAAUAAGAUGUAUCAAGACCUAAGACCCCACUUUUGGUGGACCAAAAUGAAGAAAGAAAUAGCCGCAUAUGUGGCCCGUUGUGACAAGUGUUGCAGAGUUAAGGCCAUCCAUAUGAAACCUGCAGGUCUGUUGCAACCGUUAUCAGUUCUAGAGUGGAAAUGGGAAGAGGUCAGUAUGGACUUUAUCACAGGUUUACCAACGACGAGGAAGGGGAAUGACUCGAUUUGGGUAAUCAUAGAUCGAUUGACCAAGUCGGCUCAUUUCAUUCUAGUUAAGAACACAUACAGAUCUCCCGAGUAUGCCGAUAUAUAUAUGGCUGAGAUUGUCAAGUUGCAUGGCAUUCCUAAGACCAUCAUAUCAGAUAGAGGACCACAGUUCACCGCUCACUUCUGGGAGCGAAUGCAUAAGAGUUUGGGACCAAUCUCAUAAGAAGCAUCGCGUAUCAUCCCCAGACUUCAGGUCAAACUAAAAGACUAAAUCAAGUGUUAGAGGAUAUGCUGAGGGCCUGUGUGCUAUCGUCCAAGGGAUCAUGGGAAUCAUGGUUACCUCUGGCUGAAUUCUCAUACAAUAAUAGUUAUCAAGAGAGUAUCAAGAUGGCUCCGUUCGAAGCUUUGUAUGGUCAAAGAUGUAGAACUCUGUUAAACUGGGUUGAACCUGGUGAAAGAAGAUACUAUGGUAUCGACUUUGUGAAUGUAGCUGAGAAAAAGGUACAAAUCAUACAGCAGCAUAUGCAAGCGGCACAAUCACGACAAAAGAGUUAUGCUGAGAAGAGAAGAAGGCCACUUGAAUUCAAUGUAGGUGACUAUGUGUACCUCAAGGUUACGCCAAUGAAGAAAGUCCAAUGUUUCUGAGUUCGAAGCAAGCUUGCACCCAGAUAUGUGGGACCGUAUCAAAUACUAGAGAGGAAAGGCCCAGUGGCCUACAAUAUUCAGUUGCCCGAAGAGUGGAGUUCGAUCUUUCCAGUUUUCCAUGUGUCCCAACUAUGGAAAUGUUUGAAAGUACCUGAGCAAAGGAUUGAACCUUGAGGGAUCAAAAUAAAAGCAGACUUGGAGUAUAAAGAGCAGCCAGUGGGGAUCGUAGAUACCAAGGAACGAGUAACCCGAAACAGAAUUGUCAAAACAUACAAGGUGGUGUGGAGUGAUCAUGACGAUAGGGAUGCCACCUGGCAAAACGAGGAUUACCUAAAAACAGUUUAUCCAAAAUUUCAUAAGAAAUGGUUAGUAAGGCAAAUCUCGGGACGAGAUUUCCCUAAGGGGGGAGGGCUGUAACACCCAAGGUGUUAAGCAUGCACUUAGUCUUAUCAAAACAUUCAUAAGCAUUCUCAUCAAGCAUAGCAUCACAUGAGCAUGCCAUCCAUCCAAAAUGUGAUUUUAUGUGCUUUAUUCUAUGUGAUUUAAAUAUGCUAAAAAUAAGAUGCUUGCUUCAAAAAUUGUGAAAUAUUCAAGAUAGGUUGAUUUAUGUGCAAAAAGAUUUAAGAGUAUUUUUUGUGCAAUUUUUGGAGCCAUAGAAUUUGAGAAAUGGAAUUUAUACAAAAAUCCCCAAAAUGAAUUUAUUUGAAAACCUAAAACUAGUUUUAAUUUGUAAUUCAAAUUCUGUUUGGAAUUUGAUCUUGCUUAUUAAAAUAAAGUUGUAGGAUUUUUGUUUUGGAACAACUUUGCUUUUGGGAGAAAGAGCUGAAAAUGAUUUUAAAAUGGUCCAAAUGAAUUUAGAAAGAGUUUGAGAAAAGAAAUUUGAAAAAAAAUAGAAAAGGGAAAAGGGGGGCGCUAGCAGGCCGCGGCCUCACUUCUGGCCCACUGGCCGAAGCCGGCCCAGCCCGCCCACGCUCACCCCCUUCCCCGCGCUAGCGCCGCGUCCGCGCGCGCGGACGGCCGCGCCGUGCCGCCGUGGCGCGCCGGCAGAGCCUGGCCGCCGCGUGGCGAGCAUGCGGCAGCUUGGACACGCCCUGGUCGGCCACCAGGAGCCCCCGGCCACGUCCGCCGCUGCCCCCGCUGCCAUUUGCGCUCCUCCACUCGCGCUCUCGCCCUCCGCUCGCUCGCGCGCAGCAGCCGCCGCUCCGCCGCACGCCAUCGUCGCCGACGGCUUGGAGCUCCUCUCCUGGCCAGCUCCGGCCUUCUUCUUCCUCUCCGCGACCACCAUCAGCUCCGCCUCGUCCUUCCGCGUCGCGUGCUCGCGCUCAACCGUGCUCGGUGAGCCCCGCGUGCCCGAUAAAGCUCACCGGAGUGAGUCGGAGCUCCGGCGACCUCUCGGCUCGCGCGGUUCUCUCUCUCCUUUCCGCCUUUGCUUGCGUUCGUAGGUGCAUUAGCUUUGCCUUGGCUUUGCGCACCUUUCCCCAUCGUUAGCCCACGCUCUACCGCCGCGAAACAGCCGGACCACGGCGAGGUAGUUCCGGUGCUCGUCAGGUGCCAAAAAGGGCAUGGUUGGACUCGUCCUGUGUUCGCGAAGCCGUAGGUGUUCCCGGUGUCGUCGGAAACCUCACCGGCGGUGAGAUUCCGGCCAAUCUUUGGCCGCGGAGUCGUGGGGUGGCUGACAAGUGGGGUCACCUGACUCACGGGUCUCGCCUGUCAGUGAUUCCAAGGGUUUCAAUCCGGGUGCACUUAGCGUUUUAAGUCGUUUUUCCAUUUUAAAGGUUUUUCCAGAAAAUGGUUUAAAUAUUCUAAAUUCCAUAUCUUGAGAUCCAUAGCUCCACAAUUCGUGAAAUAAAUUUUGGUGUGUUCUCUGUUUCCAGAUCUAUAACAUGGUAUGGUUGCAUCUCAUGUUUAAGUAACUUUUCUGUGCAAUUAUAUUUAAUCCAUGUUUUUGCUAGAUUUGGAAAAUGCAUAGUAAUUAAAAUAUGACUCAGAAAAAUGUGACACUUGUUUUGUUGGCUCUGCAUGUAUGUUUAGUCACUGGAAAAUAUUACUACACAUUAUUUGGUGUAUAGAUGAAUUUGUAGUGAUUUAAAUGCUUGCAUGGCAGUGGUUUAUGAUUUUUAAUAAAAAUUUGGAUCCUGCAAUUAAUCUGGUAAUUUUUGUGGGUGUUUCUUAUGAUAUUAGGCAAAUUAUAAAAAUAUGAAAUCUGCUUAAUCUUUUGAUUUUUGUAGCUCAAAAUAAGUAUCCAAAAAUUAUGAAAAAUUUAUAGUGGACUUUAUGCUUGACUGAUAGUCUCCUGUAAUUUUUGUAGAAUUUAUUGAUGAACAGAACUGCAUGCAAAUUUUGAUGGGCCUAGAAAUGAAUAAAGAAAUUAUGAAUUGUUAUAUGUAGAUUAAGUAGAAUAAAAGAGGAUUUGGUGUAUAUUUGAAGUAUCUUGUGAGUUGCUGGUUACACUUGAAAAUAAGUUUGUGGGGAAAGAAGGAAAUAGAUGCUUAGUGUAAUUGCAUGUUCUUGGAUGACAUUGACUACCUUGUAAAGAGCAUGACCAAUUAAAUCACUUAUGCAUCAUGUCAUGAUCAUUUGGUACCUUCUCAUACAAGCAUCCACUCGGGCAUCUCGCACUCCACUCAUGAGCACACAUGCAUCAUACAGGCUCGCAGGAGAACGAGGUGGGGCCCGAGGAGCAGGAGGAGACCCAGGAGCAGGAACCUCUGGGAGAACCGAAACCCAGAGAAGAGCUAUAGGAGUGUCCGGAUCACCGGCCCAGCACGUUUGAGAAAGGCAAGCGCCGGAGCAUUCUAAGUCUCCCUAUUCUCGCUAACUUACAUGAUACACUAUGCUUGUUCUACUAUGUUGCAUUUACGUGAUAGGAAUUGGUUGAUACCGUUGAUGCAUAGGUACUCCUUGAUAUCACCAUCUGUUUAUCUACCUUGUCCUAUGUAGAUAGGCACGGAGUCUUUGCUUAGCUUGCCUAGCCCGGUAGAAGUCGGGUGAUUUCCUGUCACCUGCGAGAUAUAGGUGGAUACCAGCUUGAUUAACCGGUGAUUGCUUUGGGAAAAAUAACCAAGUGUGGAAUGGAAAUUUGAGACCGGGCGGGGUCUUAUGGUGGCGUUGACUAUAGUGCCCCUGCCUGUGUCGAUUAAGGACCGAUCGUUGAUGGCCCUCUUGUCAUGUUGAACGCAUGCCCCACACUUAGCUGGAAGGAUAAGUCGUUCCGACCGCGAAGCCUGAACACUAUCCGAGCCGGGAGUCGAGCCGCCAUGCGCUGUAUUGGUGAUGGUUGAGGAGAACGACGAGGGCGCGGCGCGCAACCUUGUUAUACCUUGGAUACCUCGGUCACCGGAACGGUCCGCGGGUACUGGCAGUGCCUGCCGAACCCGCGAUUUAGUCCUAGAUAGUGUAACACGGUGAUCUGUAGCUCACUUGAUCAGUGAGUGUGGUUUAUGUGGGGAAUACCUCGCCAGCUGGUUAGAAAUCGAUUCGAAUCGCCAUCGCUCCUGCAUAGUGAGCACUUGACAUGAGCUUCGUCCUCGUAGUAAGGACUAUCGAACACUUGGGUUAUAAUGAUAAAUGGUUUCAUGAAUGACAUGAUGGGGUACCAUCAUAUUACUAUACUUGCUUGUAAUAGUACAGAUGCAAACCUAGAUAAUAGGUAAUGACAAUACUAAACUUGAGCCAGAUAAAAGAAAAGUGGUUUCUAGACUAUGUUAGGGAAAUACGCGCGUUUAUGCAAAGGUCGUCAGCUAACCCCACUAUAUGGCCUUCAUGAUCCUUGAUGAGUCUUUAUUUGAGUUUAUGACGGGUAAGUCUAGCUGAGUACAUUCUCGUACUCAGGGUUCUAUUCCCAUGUUGUUUUGCAGAUGGUCAAAUGUACUAUGGUUAUUGCAUCCUCUGUCUGUACCCAGCCAUGGGUGAUGACUAGACCAAGGGCGAUGGUCACUCCGUCUUCUCUUUUGCUUUUGUGGGAAUGACCGAAUUAUGGCACUGUAUCAGACUAGGCAUGUGUGUGUUAUUUUCAAAUUAUGAAGCUUCCGCUACUUAUGAACUUGGUUUGUAAUAACUUUAAGCACUCUGAUGUAUUGUAUGAAUGUUUUCGAACUGGAUGUAACUGUGGAUGGUGACCGCUAAACUUAUUACGAUCUUGGCUGUAUGUACGAUCUGUGGUUUGAAAUCCUUCAAGAUUUCAUGGACUACCGGGAUUAUAUGGGCUUAAGCUCGAUGGUUUGACUAUGCCAAUGGUCACUAUUAGGCUUAAUCUCUUAUAAUUUGGGCGGUUCUGUUACAGCACCGCCACAACCCCUACUUCUCAAGGGAUCAUCAUCUAAUAAGGAGACCACCAUCAAGGUACCAACCGGCACGAGGAUCCUUCCACCUAGACCCAAUGAUAGGGUCGUUGGAGUCAAGACCAACCGGAGCGGCGAGAUUAGGAGCAUCUGCUACACUACGGAGGAGGAGAGACCUUACUUUGUAGGGAUUAGAGCAGCCAAAGUCCGUUUCAUCCCUCCAAUGGCUGCCCCGAAGCACGCUCUCAAUGCUUUUGAGACACCUCCUGAUAUGACCAUGCCAGCAAGCAAGAUAUCACAAGCUCCAAGUCAAGCUACAACCACUCAAGUUUUACCUACACUGACACCAGCCCAAGUCAUCGAUGGACCGGUUACACGUAGUCGUGCAAAGAAGCUACAACAAGAGGUCCACGUGCUACUUUGUGAGAUUCAUUUUAACAUUAAUGAGAAUUAUAUACUACCUAAGUGUUCUACCUUGAUUGUACUCAGAUAUAUAGAAGAAGAGAAGGAUGAAUCGGACCCUGAAGAACGAACCAGUGCAAGUCCUAGAAGACACGUCAAAAACGGAGCAGUGGAAGUCAAAAACGGACCAGUGGAAGUAAAAAACAGACCAGUGCAAAGAAAUAUUCAUAACUUUUUAAUCACAAAAGCUAUGAAGGCCCAUGAGGACUUGUUGGAAAGCUUGUCGAAUCUACUUUCCAAUGAAUCUAGUAGCUACCAGUUUGGAUACUCCAUAUUGCCUGCAGACAAGAAUUAGUACAGACUGCUCAGAAGGUCAACAGUCUGUCGUGAAAGAAAGUUAGUACAACUUGCUAUGCAAACCUGUACCAAUCUACAAAGUUUCGUGGUGCAUGGAAUACAUUGCUGGAAAGCUCUUGGAGUCUGGUUUCACACCCAAGAAACGGUUCAUCAUUUGGACUUCUCAAUAAAAAGUUAUGGCCAGUUUAUUGGAAACUGCUCUGGAGGCCAACAGUCACGCGAAGCCAGUUCGGGAAUCCAUCCCGAGGGGUCCUUUCACAUUGCCUUCCCUCAGAAACUCUAUUUCGUUUUCAUACCUAUCUAGGAGGGUUGUUUCUAGUAUAAAUAUCUCCUACCUCCAAGCUAUCAGCAACCUUUGAUCAUUUUGAUAAACUACAUGAUAUUGCAGCCGCGCUGCUGAGUGCCUUACUUAACAUUUGUUCUUCCUUGUUUUUCUUGGACUUGUGAAGUGAAUCCUCUGGGUUCCCCUACUUCGUGCUCUACGGCUUCCGUUCAGCUGCGCCGUAUUGUGUGGAUUAGUUCUGAAUUGUGGUUCUGCGGUCGUUCGGAGAUCGAGUCGAAGUCUUCGUGGUUUCGGUGCCUCUCUACCCGUCGCUUGGUCGAGAAAAGAAAUCUUUUUUAAUUUAGAGCACCAUGCAUUCUUCGAACAACCUGCUUCUUCGAUGACAAUGUUGAUCAACUUUCUUUUGAGCUAGUCAAAAUACCAUUGCAACUGUUUGGACGACUUUCCUGCUUAUUGAAGACGUCAAGCCUCACUGAUCGAAGAAGCUCAAGACGGCUGUUACAUCGCAAUACAUGGUGCUCGGGGACUAGCUGUGGGGGUAUAAACCUCUAUACCCUCAUGGGCCUAUAUGGGCCGCACCAUCAGAGGUGGCUCGGCCCAUAGGAUGAAGACGUGCGGUGCACGAUUGGUCGGCGUGCACCGCAAGGCUACAAGAUAUUGUACCAAAUAGGAUACUUUGCUUGUAACUCUGUCCCUUCAGGAUAUAUAAGGAGGGGCAGGGGUUCCCUAGAGGACAGGUCAUACACAUUAUUCCUCAACACGAAUCAAUACAAUCAGACGCAGGACGUAGGUAUUAUGCCCACACGGCGGCCGAACCUGGAUAAAAAACUUGUCUGUGUCUUGCGUCACCAUCGAGUUCGUAGUUUGCGCACCGUCUACUGACAAACUACUACCGUGGGUAUACCCCAAGGUAGACUGCCGACCAGCUUUCGUCGACACAUCCAACCUUUCUCAGGUAUAAAGCUAGUUACCCGCUGUUCGCAGCAAGUUAUCCUUGUUCUUUUGAUCUACUGUCGUGAAGAUCGGGCCACCCUUGUGCUGAUUCAUAUCGAUAGCCUAUCAACUGGUAUCAAAGCUUUCGUUGUCAUGGUAGAUCUUACAAACAUCCACAUUUUUAUCUUUAGUAUAUCAAUCAUUUGCUACUGAUUUGUUCAUCCCUAUAGUCCACUGAAAAAGCCACAAAAAAAUCCUAAAGUCCUUUGACGGUACUGUUAUCUUGUGUUUUAUGUUCAUCAAGUUGCUAGUCAGCCUCUUUAUAUAUAUUGUGUUGUGUUUCAUUUGCUAUCCGCAUCCCUAUUAGUAUAAAAAAAAGGGUUCAAAAAAAAGUCAGAAAAAAAUAGAGAAAAGAAAAGAGUAAGAACAGGAAAAGUAGAAGAAGAGGAAAGGGGUUGUAUUGCGGUUUGCUCACUGAAAAUUCAGUUUACACAUUCAGAUUCUUGGUGAUUUAUAUACCAGCAACAUUACAUCUUGUGAGCACAUCAAAUCACUUGAUUUUCAGUACUUUGGCCUCCUUUGUUUAGCCACCUAUAGCUCCACCUAAAACUGAAACCAGGACAUUUGACUCGUAAUCCUUGCGACCUCGGAAUCACUUCUGUUGAGCCGCUACACUAGCACAAUUCAUUGUCCUUGAGAACAGGAAAGAGCAUUGGUAAGUAAGAGGUGAGGUUCUAUGAUUCCACAAAUUUACCCAUUCCACUAUAUUUUGCCUUAAGUGCUAACAUGACAGGAUCCAACUCAAUUAUUCAUGGUAAUCGUCAUGGAGAAGAACCCCCUUGUUGCACAGGCUGAGUUGCGCCAAAUGGAAGACUCACUCUUGCAGGCCAUGGAGAGAAUGCUUGAUGCACGCAUACCUGCAGAUGGGCAGAGGGCUCCUCGGCAUCAAUCUGAUGAAUCUGGUGCUGAAAAUUCUAAUGGAGGACAUGACCGUUUUAGAGAUGGUCGUGGUGGUGGUAGGCGGGCUGGUCAUCAUGGCCAAAAUGGAGGACGAGCUCAUGGGCGUGGUCGUGGCCAUCGAGUUCAUUUUGAUGAUGAGGAAUUUGAUAACUUUGGUCACGAAGAGGGCUCUGAUGAGAAUCCCUUUGCAAAUGAUGGGCUGCAUAGGCGGCGCCAUUAUCAUCGCCGGCAUGCUGAUCAUGGAGAUAGAGAGCAUCAUCAUGGACGUCGUAAUAGGGAAGAACUGGAUAGCAUUGCUCGUGUCAAGUUGAGUAUCAUAAAAUUCACUGGAAGAGAGGAUGCAGAUGCAUAUCUUGAGUGGGCUGAGCAGUGUGAUCAAAUUUUUACAGUGCAUAAUCUCUCUGAUCAGAGGUGUGUCAAUCUUGCUUCAGUGGAGUUCUCUGGUUAUGCUCUGACUUGGUGGAAUCAGAUACAAGAGAAUCAACUUAUGUCGGGCCAUGAACAUAUCAACACAUGGGAAGAGAUGAAGCAAGUGAUGAGAAGGUGAUUUGUACCAUCAAGCUAUCAGCGUGACCUUCGCAAUAGGUUACAAAUGUUGAAGCAAGGAAAAAGAUCGGUUGAUGAGUAUUAUAAGGAGAUGGAGCUGCUGUUAGUGCGGACUGGAAUUAGACAGGAUCCAGAGUAAAAAAUGGCAAGAUUUUUGGGUGGUCUCAAUGAGGAAAAUGCUGGUUUUGUUGAGAUGUUUCCAUACCAUACUUUGCAAGACCUUGUUGAUCAAGCUAUGCGUACUGAAAGAAAAAUUUAGCAAGAGACACGUGAAAAAUCUUAUGCAAGUCAUUCUAUUGCAGUCCCAUGGCGCAAGUAGCAGUCCAGCAAUUCUUUUGGUGGGGGACGGUUCCAAGGUGCUGCAGCUCGGCCCUCUUCAUCUAAUGCUCCUUCAAAGAUGGUGGUUUCUACAGCAUCAUCCCCUGCAUAUGAGCAGCGACCUGCUACAAGUGUAGCAGCCCCAACUUUUGCUUCCUCAGCUACUACUUCCUCUGCACGUAGUAGAGAAAUUGUGUGCCACAAGUGCCAUGGUCGUGGAUAUAUUGCUGCACAAUGUCCUAGUAGGAGGACCAUGAUUGUGAAUGAGAAUGGUGAAUGGGAAUCUGAAAGUGAUCGAGAGGAAGAAGUCCAAGAUAUGAUGAGGAUCGUGAGAACCAUGAUAAUGAGAUCCAACCCGAUGAAGGUGAUAACAACUGCUUUAUUUCUCUUCGUGUGCUUAGUGUUACUGCUGCAAAGGAAGAGAAUGGGCAGCGACACAAUCUUUUCCACACUCGAGGCAUGAUCAAAGAGAAGUUGUGUAGAAUUAUUGUUGACAAUGGCAGCUGCAACAAUAUUGCUAGCCAAGAAUUGGUUGAUAGAAUGGAGCUAAAACAAAGGCGUCAUCCUAAUCCAUACAAGAUGCAGUGGCUGAAUGAUUGUGGAGCGCUGCGUGUGAGCCAUGUUGUGACAGUUCCUUUCUCUAUUGGGAGGUAUAAUGAUCAUGUGGAGUGUGAUGUGGUGCCUAUGCAAGCAUGCCAGCUGCUGCUAGGUAGACCAUUGUUAUAUGAUCGUGAUGUUCAAAUCUUUGGAAGAACCAACAAGCUGGUUUUCAUGUACAAAGGAGAGUGAAUUUCUUUGCUCCCUUUGACACCGGAGGAGAUUUUGAAUGAUGAUCUAAAAAGAAAACCGCGAGAGAGCGAGAACCACUUGUGAGUGACCCACAAAAAUAGUGAGGGAGUGUUUCCAAAGCCAAUUAAAACCCCACAGCCACAAAUGACCAAGACAAAGGGAAAAGAGGGAUUAGUUAUGAUGGCUAGGACAGGGGAUUUAAAAGAAUUGAGUGAACCCAAUGCCACAUUCAUUGUACUCCUGUACAAGGAAAAUUUUUUCCCCUAAUGACUCAUCCUCUACUUUGCCAAGUGUUAUUUUUAAUGUGUUACAGGAAUAUGAGGAUGUCUUUCCAGAGGAGGUACCACCAGGGCUGCCACCCAAGAGAGGAAUUGAACAUUAAAUUGACCAUGUUCUCGGUGCUUCACUUCCAAACCGAGCUGCAUACCGCACCAAUCCGGAGGAAACAAAAGAAAUUCAGCAACAAGUGGAAGAAUUGUUGAGAAAAGGGUAUGUGCAGGAAAGUCUUUCACCUUGUGCAGUCCCUGUUCUUUUAGUUCCAAAAAAAGAUGGUUCAUGGAGAAUGUGUGUUGACUGUAGAGCUAUUAAUAACAUCACAGUAAGAUAUAGGCAUCCCAUUCCUAGACUUGAUGAUAUGCUUGAUGAACUUAGUGGUGGAACAAUUUUCACUAAAAUUGACUUGAGAAGUGGCUAUCACCAAAUAAGAAUGAGAGAAGGAGAUGAGUGGAAGACAGCUUUUAAAACCAAGUUUGGGUUGUAUGAAUGGUUGGUAAUGCCCUUUGGAUUGACUAAUGCACCAAGUACCUUUAUGAGAUUGAUGAACCAUGUGCUUAGAUCUUUCAUUGGCAAGUUUGUUGUGGUUUACUUUGAUGAUAUAUUAAUUUACAGCAAGUCUCUUGAUGAACAUGUUGAGCAUAUCCAAAGUGUGCUUGCUGUCCUACGUGAGCAAAAAUUGUAUGCUAACCAUGACAAGUGCACAUUUUGCAUCGACAAGGUAGUCUUUCUUGGUUUUGUUGUUUCAGGACAUGGUGUGGAGGUGGAUGAGGAUAAGAUCAAAGCUGUUAGUGAGUGGAUGCCUCCACAGAAUGCAAGUCAAGUGCGUAGCUUCCUUGGACUUGCUGGUUUCUACCGGCGAUUUGUGAAAGAUUUCAGCACCAUUGUUGCUCCAAUCAAUGAGUUGACAAAGAAAGAAGUGCCUUUUAAUUGGGGAGUAGCACAAGAGAAGGCAUUUGAAGAACUGAAGAUGAAGUUGACAACAGCCCCACUUCUUGCACUUCCAGAUUUCGGUAAGACAUUUGAAAUUGAAUGUGAUGCAAGUGGUAUAGGAAUUGGUGGCGUCCUCAUGCAAGAAAGGAGGCCGAUUGCAUACUUCAGUGAAAAGCUAAGUGGUCCAACUCUGAAUUACUCAGUUUAUGAUAAAGAAUUAUAUGCUCUUGUUAGAAGCUUGGAAACUUGGCAACACUACCUUUUGCCUAAUGAAUUUGUGAUACAUUUAGACCUUGAAUCUUUGAAACAUCUUAAAGGCCAACUAAAACUGAACCAAAGACAUGCAAAAUGGAGUGAGUUCAUUGAGUCCUUUCCUUAUGUUGUCAAGUACAAGAAAGGGAAAGAUAACAUUGUAGCUGAUGCUUUGUCUCGACGUCAUACUUUGCUUUCACGAUUUGAUACUAAAAUUCUUGGAUUAGAAAGUAUAAAAGAACUAUAUGUUAAGGAUUCAUAUUUUGCAGAACCAUAUUCCAAGUGUUGUGGCAGCAAGGGAUGGGAAAAAUUCCAUUUGCAUGAGGAUUUCUUAUUUCGAGCUAAUAAACUUUGCAUUCCAGAUUGCUCUGUUCGCAUUUUACUAGUGCAGGAAGCUCAUGCAGGAGGACUUAUGGGCCAUUUUGGUGCAAAGAAAACAGAACAAGUGCUGACUGACCAUUUCUUUUGGCCUAAGAUGAGAAGAGAUGUGGAGAGGCAUGUUCUUCGCUGUGAAACCUGCCAUAAAGCUAAGUCCCAUUUGAAUCCUCAUGGUUUAUACACUCCUCUACCUAUCCCUAGUGUCCCUUGGGAGGACAUUUCUAUGGACUUUGUCCUUGGUUCACCACGAACCAAGAGGGGAAAGGAUUCCAUAUUUGUUGUGGUUGAUAGAUUUAGCAAAAUGGCACACUUUAUUCCCUGUCAUAAGAGCGAUGAUGCUUCACACAUUGCUCAAUUGUUUUUCAGAGAAAUUGUGCGUCUACAUGGAGUGCCACGUGCCAUCGUGUCUGAUCAUGACACCAAGUUUUUGAGUUACUUUUGGAAAACCUUGUGGGGAAAACUGGGGACAAGGCUGCUGUUCUCCACAACGUGUCAUCCUCAAACGGAUGGACAAACUGAAGUUGUGAACCGCACAUUAUCAACAUUGCUGCGAGCUGUCCUAAAGAAGAAUCUGAAAUUGUGGGAAGAAAGCUUGCCUCAUGUGGAGUUUGCAUACAACAGGGCAGUACAUUCGACCACAAAAUUUUAUCCAUUUGAGAUUGUCUAUGGGUUCAAACCUACUGCUCCCAUCGAUCUUUUGCCUUUGCCUAUGCAGGAACGUGUGAACUUUGAUGCAAGCAAGUGAGCAGAAUUUGUCAAGAAGCUUCAUGAUCAAGCUAAAGCAAACAUUGAGAAGAUGACCAAGUUACAUGAGAAGCACGCCAACAAGGGUCGUAAGAAGAUGUUAUUUGAACCGGGAGACUUGGUUUGGGUGCACCUGCGCAAGGAUCGCUUUCCUGAACAACGCAAGAGCAAGCUGCAACCCCGAGCCGAUGGUCCACUCAAAGUGCUUCGCAAAAUCAAUGACAAUGCUUAUGAAAUUGAUCUUCCAAGUACUCAUGGUGUGAGUACAAGUUUCAAUGUCUCCGACCUUUCUCCAUUCUUUGGAUUGGAAGAGUCGAGGACGACUCUUUUUGAAGGGGGGAGGAUGAUAUGACCAUGCCAGCAAGCAAGAUGUCACAAGCUCCAAGUCAAGCUACAACCACUCAAGUUUUACCUACACCGACACCAGCCCAAGUCAUCGAUGGACCGGUUACACGUAGUCGUGCAAAGAAGCUACAACAAGAGGUCCACGCGCUACUUUGUGAGAUUCAUUUUAACAUUAAUAAGAAUUAUAUACUACCUAAGUGUUCUACCUUGAUUAUACUCAGGUAUAUAGAAGAAGAGAAGGAUGAAUCGGACCCUGAAGAACGAACCAGUGCAAGUCCUAGAAGACACGUCAAAAACGGAGCAGUGGAAGUCAAAAACGGACCAGUGCAAAGAAAUCUUCAUAACUCUUUAAUCACAAAAGCUAUGAAGGCCCAUGAGGACUUGUUGGAAAGCUUGUCGAGUCUACUUUCCAAUGAAUCUAGUGGCGACCAGUUUGGAUACACCAUAUUGCCUACAUACCAGAAUUAGUACAGAAUGCUCAGAAGGUCAACAGUCUGUCGUGAUAGAAAGUUGGUACAAAUUGCCGUGCAAACCUGUACCAAUCUACAAAGUUUCGUGGUGCAUGGCAUACAUUGCUGCAAAGCACUUGGAGUGUGGUUUCACACCCAAGAAACGGUUCGUCAUUUGGACUUCCCAAUAAAAAGUUAUGGUCAGUUUAUUAGAAACUGCUCUGGAGGCCAACAGUCACACGAAGCCAGUUCGGGAAUCAAUACCGAGGGGUCCUUUCACAUUGCCUUCCCUCAGAAACUCUAUUUUGUUUUCAUACCUAUCUAGGAGGGUUGUUUCUAGUAUAAAUAUCCCCUACCUCUAAGCCAUCAGAAGCCUUUGAUCAUUUUGAUAAACUACAUGAUAUUGCAGCCGCGCUGCUGAGUGCCUUACUCAACCUUUGUUCUUCCUUGUUUUUCUUGGACUUGUGAAGUGAAUCCUCUGGGUUCCCCUACUUCGUGCUCUAUGGCUUCCGUUCGGCUGCGCCGUAUUGUGUGGAUUAGUUCCGGAUUGUGGUUCUGUGGUCGUUCGGAGAUCGAGUCGAAGUCUUCGUGGUUUCGGUGCCUCUCUCCCCGUCGCUUGGUCGCAUCCAACCUUUGUCAGGUAUAAAGCUAGUUACCCGCUAUUCGCAGCAAGUUAUCCUUGUUCUUUUGAUCUACUGUCGUGAAGAUCGGGGCACCCUUGUGCCGAUUCAUAUCGGUAGCCUAUCACCUCCUAAGCGUCGUAAGACUAUAGUAGAUAUUGAUGAGGAUGUUCGCAGGCUAGACAGAGUCAUCAUAGAACUCCAGUCCUCGAUUAACUCCAUCACUAGGCAGCGCUCUAAUCACAACACCAUUAUACUAGGCCUUAAGAAUGAUCUUGCUAGUGCCAAUAAGAAGAUCAAGGAGUUAGAGCGCCACUAAGUUAUCUAGAUUAGACCUUGGGGCAAUGCAUCUUAGUUAUUUAUCUUUAAAUUCGGUUUAGGUUUACUAUUAUCAUUAGUUUGCUACUAUUAUCAUCAGUUUGCUACUAUUAUCGUCAGUUUGCUACUAGUCAUUUGUAAUAAAUGCCUCAAGAUUAAUAAAGAAUAUUAUUAUUAUUAUUAUUAUCUCUUGUGUGUCUCUACUUUAUUUGUAUGCAAGAAAGCAGAAAACAAGUAUGGGGGAGAUCCCUCGACAUGCCAAACACACUUCGACUACACCACUCCACGAUUCAGGUACACACUCUGCAUACUUUACACAUACACAUAUCUUGGAUUAUGCAGAAUACUGUUUCCGACAUGAUAAAUUAAAAAGAUUAAAAUGUUUCUAAUCAUGAUUAAUCUCGCUCUGUGAUAUUUCCUGAAACAUGCAGGUAUUGAAAAAUCAUUUUAAAAACCCUGUGUUACUUAAGUCAUUAUGUAAUGUGAGAUGUUAUAGUAUGAGUUUCUUAUUCUUGAUAUCAUUGUUGCUUGGAGAAUUUAUUUCAAAAUCUUGAAAAUUCUAGCUACCAUACUCAGUGUUUUAUAUGCUUGAUAAACCUGAAAAUAUUAAUUAUGAUUACAAAAGCUAUCUACUAUGUAUUGAGUUUGUUCAAAAUGAGUUAGACCCUUGUUGAGAGAUUUAUCAUGCUCCUAAGAUCAAGACAUUUAUUCAGAAAGAUUCACUCUUCCGAAGUAUUAUUGCAUUAGAGGCAUGGGCUAUGCAAAAAUAAGGAUAUUUUGAGGAAAUAAAAAGGAGCAAGUGCUCGAUAACCUCGCAGAAAAAAUGGACAAGUGUCCAGCAGUAGAAUUAGGGUUACCUCGGUAUCCACUUAAAAAAAGAGAGAAAAAAGAAGAAAAUGAUAGUCCAUGGUCCCUCUAAUAAGCAAUAUGCCAGCAAGAGUUGACAAGUUUUUAAUUUCCAAGGUCUUUGGUCUAAGAGUAUGACAUUCUUCUCCUUGGAUCCCGUUUUGAUCAGACAAUGAAUGCAGAGUAAGUAUGCUUGAGAAUUUUUGCAAAUUAAGACAGCCUGAGUGAGAUAUAUAAAAGAUAAUGAGUGACCUGAGAGAACCGAUGAGGAUAAAAGGUAUGCUAACUUUCUUUUCAAAAAUAUACAAAAAACUCCAAGUGACAGGGUUGAGAAGAAAGGGCCUCUACUCUUGAUCAUAUAUUUCCCUGACUAUGGUACAUAGUGAAUUUUUUACAACACCCUGCAAGUAUGAAGAAAAUGUUUUACAAUGUUUCACCCCAGAUAUUAUUCUUAACCAUCAUUUUCUCGAGGACGAGUAAAAGCCUAAUAUGGGGGUAUUUGUUGACGGUUCUUAAGUAUCAAUUUUAAUUAUCAAAUAAACAAGAGAAAGUACCAAUAUGCAAACAACACCUAAAAUUAGGGUUUGAUCUGACAGAAUUCCACGUGUUUUUUUGUUUAUCUGUUUCUGCAGGGGGUUAUCAGGAAAAAAGGAAGAAAGGCCCACAUGUCAGGAUUACAUAGAGAUAUCAACGUACCGCGCAAUUUUCUACCAUCUAGAAGACUCUAGAAGCCACGGGAACAAAGCGGAGGCCGAAAGGGGCCUGGCCCAGGGCGCCCGCCCCCCUCUGUACUCCAAUCAAGACUCUUUUAGCGGACCAAGCUCCACCGAUCUAAAGGAUCAAGGAUAACCAUCCAAUCAAUGUCGGUUUGAUCCAACGGCUCACGUUCACUUGAGGGGACUAUAAAACCAGACCCCCUGGCCCCUGGAGGAGACAAGUUCAUCAUAGAGUUGAGAGGAGCCCUCGAAGGAAUACCUCUCCUCUGAAUAAAAUUUCUUUUAGGCUUAGCAUCCAAUGUGAGUAGAAUUAGAUCUUCUAGUUUCUACUAGAUUGAGAGAGAUAGAGUGGAGGUGUAGAUCGGAGGAAGCCUGGCCUGUCGGUGUCUACUCCGAGGUUGUACCUGCGAGAUCAAGUUCUCCUAACCCGAAGCUUGCUCCUAGGAUUCUUCAGUAUUUCGACUUCUAAAUUCUAGUAAGUUCUUGUUUUAUUAUUCUUUGGUUUAUGAGUUUACUUUAAUCUCUUUGUGUAGAGUUUAGAGUAAUCAUCUCUGGCAUAAACGUGGUGUUUAGGCUAGGAUACUCAUAGAUAUUCCCUGAGUAGCUAGAUCGUGGUAGUAGUGAGGAACGUGACAUUUCCGAGUUACCUUUGCAGACUAUAUCUCGUUAGUAGGAAGGAUAGGGUUUAUAGGUGCGUGUUGAACAUCCUCUGUGGUGUCUAGAUUCCGUAAGCUUCCCCAAUAGAACAGUAGAUCAUCCUUACCAAGGUUAGAAAGAGAUUACGGUUGUAGUCUUCUCUAUUUAUCACUCACAUCGAGAAACAUUCUUUGUAACCUAAAGGUUAGUAGUAAUAGACCAGGUUAGUUAGAUGCACUCUUUCUCCUAGUGGUAAAAAAUAAAUACGAUACUCUGGAUAACCUCCCGGGUGAAGUGCUCACCGAUAUCCGUGCGCUUGCGGAUCAAUUCCUUAUUGCGUUCCCAAAUAUCAACAGAUGGCACUAACUGAUGAAGGGUAAUGACUGGUGGUCCUUCCUCUUGCACCUUGAGUUGUUCAUAGACAUCUUGUCUCCUCUGUUAUCCUCAUUGUUUUGCCAUCUUUUGCUUUUUUAAUCUGUUGACUCUUUUCACUCCAGUUAUUAUUAUGCCUGCAACGGAUUAGUGGACAACACAUACCUGAAGAAAUAUACAAGUAAUGACAAGGGCAUUUUUGUAACAUAGCUAAGGGUCACUUUCUAUGCUAUGAAAAGGAAUUUACCUGAGCAUACUUAGCAUAGCGCAUUAACAUAGCUAAGUAGGGACAACCAAGGUGGUAUAGCAGUGUGCCAAAAGAUGUAUCUAUGUAAGCAUAUCCCCCAAGCUUGACUUUUGCAAAAGUCAAGAUUGAAUGAAAAUAAUUCAAUAUUGCAUAAUGAUUGGUUGGACAUAUGUGUCUACAACCACCCUCUUAAUGAUUUUAUUAAUAGGUAGAAUAAGGGGGUUGAGGAUCUCAUGUGUGUUAAUUUUAGAUACUAACUGAUCCACGACAUUUCUCAUAUGAGCAUGGGUCUGAUAUGGAGUUUAAUGAAAUAAUUCACAUCCACGACAAUAUGAUCUCCCUUUUCAAACUCCAAGGGUGUCUCUUUAUGGUUGUCUAUAGGCAAUAAGUUUGCCUCCAUUAUUUCUUGCCUAUGACACUUAUUAGAUAUUCUAUUUUAUAGGAUUUCCCAUGAAUUGAUGUCCCUAAGGUUGGUCUCGUCUAAAGCUUUCCUUUAAACUUGGGUGAGUUAUGUUUAUUGAUUUAAGCUCAACAUCUGAAUUUAGACCAAGUUUAGAUGCUAUUGCUAAAACUUCAUCUUCUUCCAUCCAUUCUUUUACAAUAGCAUAUGUAUUUCUAUUAUGUUUCACGCGUUCUUGCUAUUGUUGUUGCUCUUCAAGGGUAUUCUGUAAUCUUCAUGACUCCUAUUCUUAGGAUGUCUUGAUGGAUUUCUAGGGUCAUUAUGAAGUUUAGUAGAAGGAGCAUAAAAAGAUUUAUUGGGGUCAAGGAUGGGUUUAGAGAUGGGUUCAAAGACAUUUAAUAUGGGCAUAGAAGGAGACAAGAUAGAAUUUAUUUCUAAGUGGCUUGGCUCUCCUUCUAUGGCACUACUUGGCAUGCCAUCCUUGAAUUCUUCGAGUGCCUUUUUAGGAAUGAAAGGAAGAUGAUGAUGCUUUUUCCAAGAUGCUCUUUAUGAGCAUCUUGGCUAAUUGGAAGUCUAAAUCAUUAAAGUGCAAUUUUAAAGGUUUAGGAUUGAUAGCUAAAUCUCAAGAAUGAUGUGAUUGUAUUUUAGUUAUCAAGACUUUGGUUUUUAGUUUAGAUAAUAAAUCCUUUUCUUCUUUUGGGGAGUUCAGAAAUAGCUGGAGCAACUCUUUUGAGCAUAAACUCUUGCAUUUAAAACAUAAGAAAGGACUCUCGAGAAGAUAAAUCAAGGGAUUCCGUGUAACCCUUGGUAAGACCCAAAUGUUGAAUAAACAUGGGGCCUAGCAAACCAAGGUUAGGAUUAAUGAUCCUAUGAUAUAUUUGAGAAGGCUUUAUUAUAUUAUGUAGACAUGGGCAUAGCUUAUAGAUAUUAUGAUAAGGUUUAUGCUUUAAGCUUUUGCACAUGCCAUAAAGAUAAAUAGCAAUAGAAUUAAAAACGUCCAUAAGGACGAACACAAAAAUAAUGAAGAGACUGGGAUAAAAACAGGAAAAGAUAAAAGUAUAAUACAAGACUAAGCUAAACUAAGUCAAAAUAAGCAAACCAUUCCCUCGCAACGGCACCAAAAAUGCUUGUUCGUAUAAAUUAAUUGCACUCCAUUUAAAUAGAUUUAAGUAAGAUUAUCCACAAGCACACAGUUAUCAUACCAGCGUCACAUUUUACCCUGAGGUUUUAAAUAUUGAAUCCACAGGGAACAGUUGUGAUUAUGACAUAGUAUAUAGAAAUAACCAUACAAUUAGGCUAGAUCUUAUCAAAAAAAGGUAAUAGCUAAUGCACUCUGGUUCCGACUCCGGUAAACUUUCUAUAAUACCGUCUUAUCAGGCAAGUAACCCAAAUAGGGGAAGAAUCAGAGUAAUCCCCUAUCAGGCACCUAUAAGCCUAUCAAUCCUAUCAACAGGAAGUGGACUACAGAGGAUUCAACACAGGUGUCACCUACGCAAACUACCACUGUACGGCUGAUCAGGGGAUAUUCACAAGUAAACCUAGCCUAGGCACCAUGCCUACACUACAAAAUACUACUUCAACCAAGUUACAACCAAGAUCAAAGCACUCAAUAUGAGUUGCAAACCAAAGAACAAAUAAGAACAAGAUGCUUACUUAAACCAGAAGGGUAAGUACAAAAGUACCUUAGAACGUAGCUGCAGGCAAGGGAACUGAAUCCAGACGAAUACAGCCGUGAAGAAGCACCGACAGGCCAGAACUCUUCCAGAAUUUCUACUCCUCAACUUAAUCUCUCUGGUCCAUAAACAAGAUUAGAUCUAGAAGGACUAGUCUCUCCUAAUUGCUACAUCUAGAUGAACUAGAACUAGUUCAACUAGAGGGACCCUAACCAUAAUUAUGUAGAGAAUAUGAAGCGCCGGGGUGUAGAAUGCCUCUUGGGGAGAGUCUUGGGCGUAAUUAUAUAGGCCAAGGUGGAGUAGGGGGCAAGGAACCGCCACGUCAGCGAUUUGCAUCUUCGUCUUGUGUUCACCGGCGGAUCAAACAGACUUAAAAUCGAUGGAGGGAUACUUUACUUGGCUUCCAAGUAUGCGUGGGAGGAAGACUCCAGAAGGCGGCAGACAUCGAGUGAAAUAGGGCACUGACCGGCCCCAGGGUGGGGUUGGCUGGCCCCAACUGUUCCUCCUCUAUGGGUCUCGUUCCUUCGGUUGUCUUCUAGACCCUUCCUAAGUCUUCUUGUGAUAUUUUCCGGUGCGGAUGAGUUUCAUGGAAAAUAUGUACUUGGAUCCCUCUUUUCAGCUCUUUGUGAAAUAAACCCUAGAAAAUACAAAAUAUGCAAAACUCGUGGAAAUUGUUAGAUAAAUCCUAGACUAAUGUAUUUUCAUGUGUUCCCUUGUGUCUAAAGUUCUAAUAAAUUUUGAUGUUAACGACGGUCAACAACAACCACCCUUUUAAUUUUUUGUAAGUAGAAAGAAUGAGGUGGUUUGAGAUCUCAAAUGUGAAAAGGUUGUAGAGACCAAUUGAAUUGGGAGGUGUCUCAUACGAGCAAAGACUUGAUGAAGUGUUUAUGAAGUAGCUUCCUUGCUCAUUGAAGUCUCUAUUAUUUCAAACUUCCAAGGAUGCUUUGUCAUAAAUGUACAAAACUUCCCUUAGAUUGCCUUUCGAAUUGUUCUCAUAUAAGUCCGCGUCCACAAAUCCAAUGGCAAUGGCAUAUUAGGUUUUAAUGCUAUUUUGCCAUUGAUGUUGCUCUUCGCGAUCCUCCUUAUGGACUAGAUGAUUCCUAUGCAUGGGAUAUUUAAUGGAUUUCUAGAAUCAUCAGGAGAUUUUAGAGCAUAGAACAAGCAUAGUGGUCAAGGAUGGGUUUAGAGAUGGGUUCAUAUUUUAUAUCUAAUGUGGGCAUAGAAGGAGACAGGAUAAGAGUGGCUUCUAGAUGGCCUUGCUCUCUGUUGACGGUCACUAACGCACACUUUUAUCCUGCAACUAUUGCUUGUUAUGAAAUUAUAUGAACCACAAAGCAUAGUUGUAUGGUUUGAAACUAACAAGCUCCACGAGUUUUGGUGAAUCUAUGUUUUAUAGGGCUUAAAAUGGAAAAGGACCAGAAUAACCAAAUAGAAGUAUCUGAACUGACGAAUUGGAGUGAAGAGCUCAUUGAGACAUAUGAAAUAAAGUUUUGAUUCACCCAAAUCGGAGUCUACAUGACAAAGUUACGCCUUCCAAAAGAUUGCAAAUGGGCUUCUAGAGCAGUAUGAAGUAAAUUAGUCAUACCUCUCUCAUCCGGACUCCGUUUUGAGUGAUCCAUGACUUUUUGGAAAGCUAACAAAAAGAUCUAUCAACCUUGAAAAGUGGGGUCACUUGGCAAAGACGAAGGUGUAGGCUCCCACCUGUCAGGGGCGGCCAUCCGGCGAGCUAGACCAAUGAGGGUAUACCUCGUGGAUCCUCCAUCCACAGCCAUUGAGGAGUAAUCUUGAGCGUACAUGUAAGUCGGUUUGAUCCGAAGGCUAUGGUGCUUCCGUGGGUGCUAUAAAUAGAAGCCUGACCCUCCUCAGGGCAUAUCCUUCAUCUUCUUCAUUAGCUACAUCUAGAGCAAAAACUAGGGUUUCAUCAAGUAGAAGUAGAGGUCCCUCUAGUUCAUCUAGUUCUAGUUCUAGUUCAUCUAGUUCUAGUUGUAUAAUUGUAUAUGGAUUAGAGGGAGAAAGAAGGGGAGAGAGCCAAGGAGGAGCUGGAUCUGUCGGAUCUUCCUCAACAUUAUAUAUUGCAGAAGCUUGACCCUCCUCAUGGUGCUUAGUCUUGCAAUUACCUAGAACUGCACCCAAUCCAACAUAUUGUUGUGGUAGCCCCAGGAUCAUGACAGUCAUGACGGCCGACGUAUUCUACCAUGUUCAGAUUGGUGUUGUAGGACCAUAGUCAGAGCUUCUUAGCCCUCAUCUCAUAUCUUUUGUGUGGUUAGUGUUGUGAUGUCCCAAGAUAAUUAACCUUAGAGUAAAUCCUGAUUCCUAGAUCAACCUAUAGAACUCUUAGGAAAAUUCCUCUCUACCCUACAAAAUUAUAUAUAUAGUUAUCCUUGGGCGAUCUCAAACUCAACUAGUACACUUUACGUUCCCCGUGGAAAAUCGAUACCUUGGAAUACUCCCAACUGAAAGCUACGUUGGUAUCCGUGCGUUUGCGGAUUUUUUUGUGUGUGUUUAAAAUAUCCAACCAGCUUUCUGGCGCUGUUACCGGGGAACGGUAGCUGUUCUAGAAUGAAACCAAGUUUUUCCAAGUUUCCUUUUUCAUUUACCACCUUUUUAAGUUUUUACUUCUUUCCAACAAUAACCUAAAUGCCACACCCAUUUAUCAAUAUGCUACACCCAUGUAACACCCAAAAUUCAAUUUUCUAUAUAGGAUGAAAUUAGUUUUAUUUAAAUAUUUUGGUGAGCAUUUAAUUUAAUAAAUAAAUAAAUUUUUGUUGAAAUUAAAAUGUAUCGUAAGGUUAGAAACUUGUUUAUCCGUUCAUGCUGGGGCAUAAUUUUAUUUUGUAUUGUGUUCAUUGUUUUAAUUUUUUGUUGAAUUCAAUUUCUCCUUUGAAAAGCUUUGGAAGAUAAAUUAGAAAAAAAGACAACAUCUCACUCGUUUUGGUCGAAGCCUUUCCCUCUGCGCGCGGCCCAUUCUCAGACGCCUCAGAGCCAGGCCGCAGGCAGGUGCUGUCUCCCUCCCCUCUUCUUUCUCUAGCGACCGGGCGCCGGCCUUUCUCCCACCGUUAGCAUGGCCCCACCCAUCAACCGGUCAUCUUCCUCCCAUGUGACCGAGAUGGAUACCGAGAGCACCGAAUCCUUCCCAAUCCCGAUUUCUGUGGGAUAUGGUCACCCCGUGCUCCUUUAAAUACUCAACUCUUUCCCCUACGACCUCUUUUUCCAUCUACAGUGUCACGGAAGCCAUCCUAGCCCUUGGUUCGUGAGUUUGGAUCUCAUCGAGUCACCGGUUUUGAACCCCGGCGCUGCGAGCUCUCCCCGCACCUCCUCGACCCAAACAAGAUAUUCCAGUGAGCCCAGGGUAAGCUCCUCCGUGUUUUGGUGAGUUUCUUUCAUUGUUUGGCGCUCGGAAAUGCUGUAUCGAUGAACUCCAGUGAGCUCUACGGUGGUGGCCAUCGCACCACCGAGCCGGCGCUCAGUUUCGGCCGGCAGUCGGCCACCGCCAGUGCCCAGAUGGAUUUCCAGCCGCUUGAUCGUAGAUCCACGGCUAGAAACAAAAGAUACCCUUCCGGGUGCGACAUUUGUUAAAGAGUUCCUAAACUUUUUCAUAAUAGAACCUACCAUCCUUUGACGUAUUCCUGAUAUACGUUUUCUGGUUUUCAAAACAUAUUUCCUCUCGGGUUAUGACAGAAUAUGCUUUCAUAUAAUUACAAGAUUGCCACUUAUUUUAGAUUGCCCAUAAAAUGCUCAUUUUAAUUCCGAUUUGACUCGUUCAAAUUGCGUUAGACUCAUCCUGUCGAGACCUACAUGAUAGUUUUACUAUUUCACCAGUUUGCAACUUUUUUUAUUUCAUAGUACUAUUUAAUUAAUUAUCCCUUUCAUGCUGGAACUUUUUAAUUACUUUAUAAAAUUCAUAACUUUUGUGUUUUAAUUAUGAUUUUCGUGAUCUUUACGUUUUUUUGAUCGUAGCGCUGCGUAGAAUGUUUUUAUAAACUUUUAUAUUUGUUUUUCCACUAUUGGUGUAUUGUUCUAAUUAUAGCUUGUUGCUUUGUGUAUGAUUGUCUCUAUUGGAAUGCGUGUUGUUGAUUGAUGAUCAAGUAUAGACGGUGAGCCGUAUGUUGGUGAGCAAGAUCAAGUCUUUGACGACUAGCAGGAGUCUCAGGAGAGCUUUGAUCAAGCCAAGUAUAACUUGGGACUAUCCUUGUUACCUACACUCAUUUAAAAUAAUAUGUCAUAUGCAUGUGUCCACCUUGACAACCUUAGGGAAAAUCAUAGAUGAUUGUUACUUCCUUGUUACCUAUUUGAUAUGCAUUUGGUGUAGUUAUUGCUAGUGCUUGAUGUAAUCCAUGAUCCUGUAAGGUAAUUAAUAACUAUGCAGUGGACAUAAAAAGUUGACAUAUAACUGUAUGAGGUAUUGUCUGUACGUGAUCAUCUAGGAUAACAGUGCAACCAUGAGGGCUAUAAUAGCUUUGGCUUUAGCUCAGUAUGAAGACCUUUUCUAGCUUGUUAGAGGUUACGCGAAAGGGUGCUAGAGGGGCUUGCUGUUUUGGGUAUAGUGUGGCCUCUGUCCUUAUGUGUAUAGGCUACGUGUCAUUCUGCCAUUUGGGGGCUCUACAUCUACACAACCGAGAAACCUUGCGGCCAUAACAUGUUAGACAAACUUUUGAAAGGCUUCAUGGUGAUCCCUGCCGACCUUCCCUGGUAGUGGGUUAAGAGGCUGAUCACCUCGUAUUAAAGGGUAAAUCAAGACUCAUGUGUAAAUACGUACAACCUCUAUAUUGUGUUAAAAACUAGUAUACUAGCCGAGCUCAUGGUCAGGAGCGGCCUUGGAGACAUCUACAUUAAGAUGAUGACGCUUGUUAUGUUAUUAUGAUCAUUUACUUAUCGUUUAUGUUUAGUAUUAAUUAUGCUUACAUUUGAUCAUGUGGUUAUGUAAUUUAUUAUGCGGCUUUGACUUCUGUUAUCUAAAUAUGAACAUGCUUCAUACACAUUGAAGCUAAAUGCAGUUAAGCCAGUGUCAGCUAAUUGAGCAACCUGAACCCAUGGUUAUACUUGUUGAGUAUGAUAUGUGCUCACUCUUGCAAUUUCCGAACACCUCAUGUUAUGCAAAUGAUGAUGACUGAAAUGAGGAUUAUCGAUAUGAGUACUAGGUUUGGAGUCAACCAGUCAACAUUUGUCCCUGUGUGGUGCUUCUGCUGAGAGAGUUUCUUUAAUACAAUUAUCUUCAUUGUAUAAGACUAUGUGAUUAUUAUUGUUCCGCUAUGUAAUAAACAUUGUGAUGAUACUCUUGAGAUUUGUCUACUUAUGUGUGUGACUGUUUUUGGGGUGCACAAGAGUCUUUUAUGCAUCCUAUUUGAUCACUGAAAUUUGGGUGUGACAAAUUGGUAUCCAAGCUUUGUUGACUGUAGGACGCAACCCUAAUUAGUAAUGGACAAAAUUUAGGUCCUUUACUUUAUUUGUUUCAUGCUUUUUACUAUAGCCUUGUUAUUUGCUAAAAGUUUUAUUUUUAUGCUUCUUCAUCUUAUUCUAUUAUAAAAAUUAUUGCAUCUAUCUGAUCUAUGUCUACAAAAACUUUUGUAUAUGCCUCCGCGUACCCAUAGUGUUGCACGCAUGACUGCUGAGAAGUACCGUGCCCUGUUCAACCCAAGGGGACAGCAUAUGGAGGAUGUUCCUAAGCUUGUAGAUGAAUAAUCAUAGGUAAGAGGAGCUCAGGAGGAAAAUGCGCCCGACGAUGAAGAGAUGUACGACCAACCCCAACCCUAUCCUGCUCAAAUAACUAAUACAUAGAUGGGUUGGACCACAGUGGUCUGGUUUCCAGAGUCAGACCCCAAAGCUUUCUUCCAUGAACUACUGGUGCUAGCAUUGGAUCACUACUACCCAGAUUUGUAGGCUACACUAGAGUAUUGUUGCACAGAGUACAGGCAUCCCCUCAAGGAAUCACAUUGGGACAUCGAGCUGACAAUCAAAUCACUAGAUGCUACCACAAAGAUUCAUAGGGUGGAGUCAAGGCACCUCUCCUGGGUCAGUCGGGCUACUGCAAAGGAUAGUAUGGCGGAUGCAGCAUACCACACAUUGGUCUAUUAUCGUGGCACACGCUUUGAGGAAGCACAACAUGACUCGCCAUAUCAUUGUCCUCACUACGUGCCAGAGGAAGAGGUUUGGACCAUAGAGGUUCCAGAUACAACAAUAUCGAAGCUUCAGGCGCAAGUACUGCUGACCUCCGAAUUAAUUUACAAGGUGAGCGGCUUCGAGGACGAACUGCGUCAUGAGAGAUAACUCCUGGAGCAGGAUUGAAGGGAAGCGCAUGAUCUUCGAGCAAAGCUAGGCCGUCCCAAGCUUCAUGAGAAGAUUCGUUCAGGACCCAUCAUGAAGGACGCUGCUCCAGAGGAAUAGGCAACCCACAAGUAAUAGGAACGUUAGUAGUAUCGUGAGUCAAGUCGAGUUUUUUUAGUGUGGUGUGAACUUGGUGUGCUUGCUGAAUUUGUUAUUAUGAUAAUGUGUGAUUUGGAAUUUUGUAACGAGUGCUGGAGCUUUGUGGGCAUGUCUACAAGUUCCCUAGUUAAGGACCUUAAGUAACAACAUGAAUAAAUAGUGGGUUUGGGUCAUAUUCAGAUUUUGUCCUUUGUUGAUUUCUAAAGCAGUGUGCAAUGAUUCUGAUAUAUUUCAAUUUCUCUUCGUGCAAAGUUUAUCACCAUUUUCUGGGAACAAUUAGACUUCUGUAUCUUUUCAAUGCCGCAAGAAUGACAGUAUUAUCUAUUAUGAGCUGUGAGAUAUAACUGUUCAAAGUUGAGGUUUCUGCACAGUCUAGGAUUCUAGAAUAGUUUAGGUUAUGCUCAGUUUUGACUAAUUUAAUUAUAGAAUCUGUUAAUAUUAUCUAAAUGGAAGCUGUAGAUAAUUUCUUUAUCUUUGAAACGGUGUAAAGUAUAUGUUGGAGUUCUGGAACUCGAGAUAUAACUGGUUUUCUCAACUGCUGAUGUUGGAUAUCGCCCAGAAAAAUUCAGAUUCAAUUAUCACUUAUACUUAUCAUGUUGGAUAUUACUAAGAUCUAUUUCUGUACCUUGGAAUGCAGAUGGUAGCAAGGGGAAGAGGCAGAGGCAGAGGCUGCGGCAGGGGUGCCAAUGCCCUAAUUUCUAUGGAACAGCUCAUGUAGACUCAGAACGAGAUGAGCAUGCUUUUAUGCAACACCUUCAGCAUCAACCUAUACCACUGCCACCACCACCACCUGUCCAUGUGAGGGAUAAGUGUCGAGAAUUUAUGAAGGGAAGACCUCUGGUGUUUACUCACUCCAUGGACCCUAUGGAGGCAGAUGACUGGCUGCAUGCUAUGGACAAACAAUUGAACAUAGCACAAUGCAAUGAUUUUGAAAAGGUGUUGUAUGCUUCUGGAGAACUGCAGGGUGCAGCUCAGACUUGGUGGGAGUCUUAUCAAGCUACUUGUCCCAACAAUGCCCCUGCGUCACUUGGUAGGAAUUUUGUAGAGAUUUUAGAGCAUGACAUAUCAAUGAAGGAAUGAUGGAGCUUAAGAAGAACGAAUUUAGAUCUCUUAGAAUAGGCUCUAUUACUGUCGCUAAGUAUCAUGAUACAUUUGAGCAGUUGGCUCGCUAUGCCCCAAAUGAUGUCUGGGAAGAUGCUGAUAAGCAUAGUCUGUUCAUGAAAGGUCUUUUCUAUGAACUCAGGUUGCAGUUAGCUGGAAAUACCUAUCCUACCUUCUAGGCUCUUGUGAAUCAUGCUACUGUGUUAGAUAAAAUGCGCAAAGGUCAGGAUAAGAAGAGGAGGAUGCUAGAACAAGGUUCUGGUAGCAAUAACUGCCAGCAUUUCAAUUCUCAGCAGGGUUUUCAAUAGUGGUUCCAAGGACCAAUUAGUCAGUGGAACUGCAACCAGCACCCUCAAUGUUUCUAGAACCAACCAUAGAAUGGGAAUCAGCGCCCUCCAUUCCAGUAGCGUAAUCCUAAUCAAUAGCAGAGUGGUCAGCAAACAUCUUGUUUAGGAAUUUCAAAUGCCACCCCUAUGAAGAGUAGUGCUCCCAAUACUCGUAAUAGGUGUUUUCAUUGUGGGAAGGAAGGACAUUUGUCAUAUAACUGCCUAGAGAAGUUCAACCAGCAGAACAACAAUCAAAAGUCUACUUCUUAUGCGGGAAAGGUGAACCAUGUGUCUGUAGAGACGGUUCAGGGGGGAUCAGAACUUAUGAUGGGUACGUUCAGCAUCAACUCUAUCCCUGUUAUCGUUUUAUUUGAUUCUGGAUCUUCACAUACAUUUAUUUCACAAGCAUUUGUUAGAGUUCAUAGCAUUCCACUAGUUGCCAUGAAUACCUAGUAAACUCACCGGGAGGGACUAUACAAGUUACUUAUUAUUGCCCCUCAACAAGUCUUUCUUUAAGGGAGGGUAGAUUUCCCUAUCAGUCCUAUGGUUAUGAGAACUUCAGGCAUAAAUGUGAUUUUGGGUUUGGACUGGAUGGAGAAACAUGAUACGGAUAUUAAGUACAAAGAGAAAGUAAUUGCUGUGACAACACCAAACGGAGAGCGAAUCAGUGUUCAUGUGGUAGUACAGGCUUCACCCAUAGGCACAGUAAAUCAGCUGGAUGAUGAUGUUUAUCCUCAGGACCGUGUAGUGAAUGAAUUCCUAGAUGUUUUUCUAGAUGAAUUGCCAGGUAAGCCACCUGACCGAGACAUUGAAUUUAUUAUUGAAUUACUACCUGGUACUGCACCUAUAGCUAAAAAGUCAUAUAGAAUGGGGGUUAAUGAACUAGAAGAACCUAAGAAACAAAUAAAGGAAUUGCAAGAUAAAGGGUUCAUUUGUCCUACCUCUUCACCUUAGGUGCUCCAUUUAUUUUUGUUGAUAAGAAAGAUGGUAGUCAAAGGAUGUGUGUGGAUUAUCGGUCACUUAAUGAGGUUACCAUCAAGAAUAAGUAUCCCUUGCCUAUAAUUGAUGACUUAUUUGACCAAUUAAGAGGUGCUUGUGUGUUCUCUAAGAUUGAUUUGCAUUCUGGUUGUUGAUAUUUGUUAACGCCAUCAGGAAAUGAUCCACAAGCACAUGGAUAUCGGUGAGCACUUCACCCGGGAGGUUAUCCAGAGUAUCCUAUUUAUAAUUUUACCACUGGGAGAAAGCGUGCAUCUGACUAACCAAAUCUAUUGCUACUACCCUUUAGGCUACAAAUAAUGUGAUUGGAUGUGAGUGAUGUAUAGAGAAGACUACAACCACACUCUCGUUCUAACCUUGGUAAGGAUGAUCUACUGUUCUAUUGGGGAGGCUCACGGAAUCUAGACACCACAAAGGAUGUUUGACCCGCACCUAUAAACCCUACCGAUCCUGCUAAUGGGAUGUGGGCUACAAAGGUAACUUGGAAAUGUCACGUUCCUCGCUACUACCACGGUCCAGCUAGACAGGGGAUAUCUAUGAGUACCCUAGCACAAACACCACGUUUACGCUAGCAAUGAUUACUCUAAACUCAACCGGAAGAUAUUAAAGUAAACUGAUAAACCAAAGAACAAUAAGAACAAAGAACUUACUAUAAUUUAGAAGUCGAAAUACUAAAGAAUCCUAGGAGCAAGCCUCGGGUUAGGAGACUUGAUCCUGCAGGUACAACCUCGGAGUAGACACCGACAGGCCAGGCUUCCUCCGAUCUACACCUCCACUCUAUCUCUCUCAAUCUAGUAGAAAUAGUUCUACUCUCACAUUGAAUGCUAAGCCCUAUGAGGUGGGAACCCUAAGAACCUCUCUCUCUGAAUCCUCUCUGGAAAAUAUGCUAAUGAAUAAUGAGGAUUGCCUCCUCUAGGGGCCAGGGGCCUUGCUUAUAUAUCCCUUUCAAAUGAAUUUGGGCCGUCGGAUCAAACCGACCUUAAUCGCACAGUUUUCCUUGAUCCUUUAGGUCGAUGGAGCAUAAUCCGCGAGAUGGGACCUGAUUGGUCUCUGUAGCAGGGCGGGCGCCCGAGGGGGAGGGCGGGCGCCCUGCCCCUGGGCCCGCUCGGCCUCCCAUUCAUUCUUGUGGCUUAUGGACUCUUCUAGAUGAUAGAAAAUUACGCGGCACGUUAAUAUCUCUAUGUAAACCCGACAUGUGGGCCUUUCCUCCAUAUUUCCUGAUAACCCCCUACAGAAAUAGACAAACACCAAAACUCGUGGAAUUCUGUCAGAUAAAACCCUAAGUCUGGGUGCUGGUUGCAUUUGGAUCCUUUUCUUUAUUUAUUUGAUGAUUAUAUUUGGUACUUAAGGACCGUCGACAACUCCCCCAAGCUUACCUCUUGCUCGUCCCUGAGCAAGGAUGGACUCAAGAGUUUCUGCAGUGGUUUCAUGCCUUAAAAGUACACAUGUGUUCAAGCAAGAUCUCAUCUCUAAACUGUUAAGACUUAAAACUUACUCAUUUUACCUUUCACCAUGGUGCUUGCAACCGUCACUUGUGUCUUGAGCAGUUAAAAGAUAGAACAGUCUAGUCAAGCGCCAUGUCUCUUGUUCUUUGAUUAGCUAUAGCUCUAAAGUUUUUGCAGAUUUUCAAAUAAAACUCAGAGAUUCCUUGUAUGACUCUCUCAAAUCUCUCUUUUGUGGUAUUUUUGGAUCCUUACCAAGACAGUAAUGCUAUAUGCCUUCUCUCAAAGUAUGUGGUAUUUUUGGUAUGAGGCAUAGUGAUAUUGCCUUCUCUCUUACCCUACUCUAAUAAGGUUUUGAUAUCUGGAGCUCAUAGGUGGGAGACAGAUAAUACAUACUUACAAGACAUUUAUUGCAUAGUCAAACCAUGGAUCCAGAGAAACAAGUCAACAAGUCAAAUCAAGAUGUGCAUAUGUGUUGAGUAAAUGGUGUAUAGUGAUGAUGGUGAUAACAAUAGUGAAAGUCUAAUUCUACUUUUGCUCUUUUUAGGGGAUACAUACCUUUCUUGCACUUUGAAGCUUUUUGAGGAGAAUGAGAUGCUCUAUAUUUUCUUUUUCCUUUUCUCUCAAGUGGGUAUCUUGUACCCCUAAUUCUACUAUCAGACACUUGUCCAUUUUUACCUCUCGUCUCACUUUUUAUUUUCUUCGAGGUUCCGGGCACUUGCCCCUUUUUAUUUCCUCAUAUCUUUUUCUUUUUUUGAGGUUCUGGACACUUGCCUAUUUUUAUUUCCUUGUAUUCAUCAUCAUUUUUUAGAUCACUCACCCUCCUGGAAUAAUGUAGC